UUUUUUUUUUUUUUUUUUGUUAUUAACAUCUUUCUGGUAUCUGGAAAAUGACAACAGCCAUCAUGAGAGGGACCCCAAGAAUAAUUGCUCACAAUGAGUAGACACAACUCACGGGUGGUUUAAAAUAUUGUGAGAGUACCUAUGACUAGUCACAACUUGAAAAAAAAAAAGAAAAGAAAAGAAAGUGAUUAGUUUAAUUUAUGUCAAAAGUGAUUUCCUGUAAAUUAUUUUUGGGAAUUAAAAGUUUGUCAAAUAAAAAAUGUUCUAUAGUAAAUUUUGUUACAUCAGAUUUAGUAGGUGCAUUAGGUUGACUAUUAGAUGCUACUAUGCUGAUUAGUUAAGUUUAAACUUGAAUGAAACAUAAAGAAAAGUUGUUGUCUUGUCGAGUUAGUUUGGCAUUCAUAUUUCCACAGUAUUUUAACUUGCAAGUUUGGCCCACUAAUCAAUUAACUUGAACUUCUGGUUCUAGAUUCGGAGUACCAAAUGAGUCAAAAGAGAAGUUCUAAUUAAUUCUUUGAGUACCCUUUGCUUUUUGGAUUACAAAAUUGUUCCUCCAUUUUUUGUCCUGUACGGAAUUUUGUGUUCAUCCCAAGUAAAUAUUGAAAACAAAUAAAUGAUAUUUUAGAGCAUGUUUGGAUUGCAUGACUUUACGAGAUUUUGGAGAAAAAUUACUGUAGCACUUUUUUGUAGGUAAAAAGGUGAUGAUGUAUGUGAGAUAAAAAUGGUGGUUGAAAAUUUUGAGAAGGAAUAUUCUCACGAUAACUUAAAAAAAAAUUUCUGCAAAAAAAUGCAAUUCAAAUAAGGUCUUACUUUUUACUUAGUAGAAAAGAUUACUAUUUGAAUUAUGAUUUUUUUUUUUACUUCCCACAUUUCUUCACAUCCUUUCUAUCCUUCAACUGGUAGGCUCAAGAACUAUUUGAAUUAUAGCUUAACUACAAGUAGCUUGAUAUUUUCCUUGUUUUUUUGUAUGUCAAUUUCAAAUCAAGAAUUGCCGUCAAACUAACAACAAUCACAAACAAGUAUGUUCACUCUAUUCUGUUUGCAUAUGGGAAAAAAAAAUCUUCUGAUAAUAUAUGAUCUUCUUGUUGAAAUUUCUUCCUGAUUGUGGUCCUAUAUAUGCAAUACAUUUUUAUUGAAAUUGAAGGUUGUUCGUCGAAUUUAUAGGCAAUUCUAGUUUUUUUCAAAUGAGCACGAGUCUAAAAAUUUGAUAUCAUUGCACUUUAUUUAUAGCUUAAUUAUUAGCACAGGAUUAAGAUAAGAAUAGACGAAGAUGAUAGAGAGCUGUCUCCAAAACAUUUAUGAUGAAAGUUAUCUUUAAAGAAAUUUGUAAAGUGAUCUAUAGACAGGUGGCCUAGAUCCUUAAUGGUGAAUUUAAAAUCAUUAAAUCCACAAUAAGAGGGCUGCACAACUGUUGCGAAAAGGUUUACCAAAUGGGCAAUUGGGGGUAUUUUUAAAAUAUUUUACGGUAACAAUUUGGAUGAAAAAUUUUUACUGUAAAUAUUUUUAAUGGUGUUUUUGAAAAUAUAUUUCGAAACAUUUUUAAAAUUAAAAUUUUAAUGAAACAUUUUAAAUUUUAUAAAAUCUUAUAACCACUCGUCACUAUCCCACCCUCCCUCUAUCCACCCUUUUCCGCCACCCCCUCCCACCUUUUCUGGUCGCGGGUCGCAACUAGAAAAUGGUCGCCGCCCGCAACUAGAGAGCAGGAGAGGGGGCCGGUGAAAGAGACGUGGGGAGGAAGGAGGAGGGGAGGAAGAAAGAGAGGAGAAAGGGGAGGGGAAGAGGGAGAAGGAGAAAGAAGAAGGGAGGAGAGAGGGGGAAGGGCGGCGGGUGGUGGUGUGUUUUGGUAGUCGGUAGUAGGGGUGCUGGUGUAUUUUUUUUUUUGUAUAUUUGGAGUUGUUUUUUAUGUAUUGUAUAGAUGUGGUGUUUUUUAGUUGUUUUUAUUUAUGUAUUACAUAAUAUUACAUAUGAAAAACUUGUGUCUUAAAAAUUGAGAAAUCCAAACAAAGGCAUGGUCUUGUAGAUAAUAUGACUCAAAUUUUGCUAGAUCUUUAAUUUUUGAAUUGGUGAAAUGGUAUGAGAAUAGGGAUGGCAACGAGGGCGGGCACCCGCAGGGGGUCAUUGGGACGGGGGGGAAUUUUUUCCCCCCGUUUGAAAAAAAUAUAUAUAUGUGCAUAAUUAUAUAUAUAAUGAUAUUAUCAAUUAUACUACUAAUUAUACAUGUCUAUUAAUAAAAAUUAUUAAUUAUUUAUACUAAAUUUAUUAAUACAUUUAUGUUAAAUUCCUAACUACACUUAAUACAAUAACACUUUUUUCUAAAAAAAAAAACACAAUAAUAAUUUAGUGAUUGUAUUUGUAUCAAAAGUGAAAACUUGAUUAUUUUAGUUAUAUUUGUUUUAUCAUAUUAGAUUGUAUUCAAAUAACCUUUGUUUAAUUAUUUUUAUGAGUUUCAAUUGUGAAGUUAUAAUGAAUAAUAAUUUGAUGAUAUGUUAAUAUUUUAGUACUUGAUUAUUUGCUCAAAUUUAAUUAUAAUAAAAUUAUAUAAUAAAAUUUUUUUAACUCCACUGGUACCCCAGUAGGGGAAGCAAGGGGAACCCCUAUAUGAGAAUUCCCAAUUGUGUCAAACUUUCCAUUUUCGCCUCUUAGAAAGAAAAGAACUUAAAUCAAUAAAAAAGUAUUAGGACUUUUAGAAUAAUUCAGUAACCAAAAAUUUCUUAUUUAAAAAACUAAAGGAAUGGAUUUAAUUCCAACUUUCUUGAUCAGUAUACUGCUUCUUUUAGACACACAUCCCCUCUUAUUGGAUCAUUGGCUUUACCCAAGUGUUCGCCUACCAAAUAUUGGAAGGGGUUAGAAGCAAAUAGGGUUAAAAAAUGAACCAAACUAUUUGAUACUCGAAUCGAAUUCAAUUUGGUAAGAAUUUGUUGGAAUUUGGUUCACCAACUAGUCAAGUCAAAUUUAAAUUGCGUUUUAUAUUUAAUAAUAUUUAAAUUCGAUAAAAAUCUCGUUCAACUCGAUCCAACAAAUAAAUAAGUCAAGGUUAAACAAAAUUUCAAACUUGUUAAUUAAUCAAGCAAGUUUGAAUACUAAAGUGUUCAGUUUGAUCAGAUUCAUUUAUAUCCCUAGAAGAAAGUAGAGAUUUAUAUCAAUGUCAAAAUUGAAGACAUUUCAACUAUUUAAGAUGUUCUUCGAUGUUGAAGCCGCAUUUCUUAUACGUUUAAUUGUGUGCAUAUGCUUUUUUUAUGCUUUAAAAUUCCUAGAUUCCAUCAUAUGUCUGUAUAUAUAUUUUUUCUAAGCUUUAAUUCUUUGGGAUGAUCAAAUGACACAUUUAUGGAAUUAUAGAAUUAUGUGCCUGUCACUUGCGUCUACGUUGUGUGAUUUUACUUUUGAUACGGUUAAGAAAAGCCCACUCGAUCACAUGGCCAUCCUCCUCCACCUUUUGUUUUUCUUUUACAUAUUAUACAUUUUUUAAAUCAUUUUGGUGUGAUAAAACUUAAAAGGUUAUAUCUCACUUCAUAAAAAGGUUGCCCAAAUUAUGCCUAAAGUAGGGUUUUUCUCAACAACCAGAUAAAAAAUACAAAGCGUAUUUUUGUCUUUGUCAAACGCAUAUUUUACUAGACUCAACUGGAUCUGUCUAAUGAGUCCCUAUUAGUUUAGGUGUUAAUACUUUGAAAAUCCAAACUUAAAUAUAAAAAGCUUAUAAACGCAGGGUACGUUAAUGAUUUUUAGUAUGUAAAUUCAUAUUAUAGAUUAUGUGUCAUUUAGAUGUCUUAAUAACUGUGCACGUUGAAUAUCCGUUAGAAAAAUCUAAAUAAAUUUUGGCAUUGGAUAAAUAUAAUGGAUGUAGAUUAAUAGUAUCAACUCGACCCUUUCAAUCCAAAAAAAUAAAAAAAUAAUUUCACUUUUAACAUGAUAGACGGUUAAUUUAGGCAUGAAUUGGGAGUUCUUUACAGAGAAAAGAGAGAAAAGAUAAGGAGAUGGAAAAAUCCUGUCAAGAAAGAAAAAGAUAUAAUUUUCUUAUGUCUUAGGACCUUAAGAAAAAAGAAAUUGAUUUAGAUUUAUGAAUUAUUUUUGUUGUUUGUUGUGUAGAGUUGGUACUAUAGAAAAAUCUUUUUAUCUGGGAUUAGUUUUCUCCCCAUUUUCUCCCCUUUUGGAUGGAAAACUUUUUAGCAAAAGUUACCAAUCCUUUUCUUGCUCUAUAUAUAUAUUUUUUCCAUUUCUUUUCUUUUCCUACCAUUUUUGACUUCCAAAAGGCUAGUCUACGGCUUAGAAUCGUGGCACCUUAAUCCUCCUUUCCGUCUGAAUUAAAACCAGAAGAAAGAAUUCCUUAAUCAAAACUGCUCUAUGUUAUUGUCAGACUACGGUCUACUUAAUAGGAUAAUUAACUCCACAACCAUAAAUUAAUUACAAUAACUCCCGUGACCACUAAUUGCAAGUAUGUGAUUAUUGGAUGCCUAAGCUUAGUAUAUUAUUUAAACCACUUUAAAUAAAGGUUUAGUUAAUAAUCACUCGUUAAGAGGAAUUCAACUGUUAAUUUUUUUAGUAAAAAAUGUUAUUAAUUUGAAAAAAUAUCUAAAUAUAGCGGUGCAAUAAUUAAUGUAUGUUCAUAUGGUAAGUUUGGUAUAAAUUAGAUGUACUAAUAACAAGCUGCUGAGUUACUAAAAUCCUUAUACAAAUAUUAGAUAGAUUUUUUUUUUUCUAAUGACUGCCCACUAUCAUUUAGCAUACCUAAAUUAUUAUGUGAAUGCACAAAUUUGUUUCUUUUAUCGAACUGCAUUUAGUAACUUUCCUAAAUUAAUUUUACCUUUAUAAAAAAUUUAUCUUUCAAACCUUUUUUAACGAGUGCCAACUAGGCAUCGCGUAAACUUAAACCCUUUUCAAGGAGUAAAAAUAUUAGUUUAAGAAUUUACCAUUUUAGAGGUGGAGUUCAUAAAUAUACUUGUGUAUAUAUUUAUUUGUGUUUGAAAUCUAUGCCUAGAAAGUUAUAAAAAAGUGAAAAUUGUUGUCUACAACCUUCAAAUUAAGCAUAAAUUAGGAAAAAAUGUAUUUUUUUAAAAACUAUUGUAUCACUGUUAAUUAGUCCAAGGAAAAUUGAAAAACUUUUAUUGCUGUAUUCUUCAAUUUGUAGGGUGAACAACAGGAGACUAAUGUCAAGAAUUACUAUAAACAAUAGUUAUGGUUAAUGAUUCCCCUUAAAAAGGGGUGGGUUUGGUUUGGGCAGCUGCCUUUCCUUUGCUUCUCUUUAACUUUACAAAAAGUGAGAAUUUACCAAAACCCAUCUUUUUUCUUCUCUUCUCUCUUGCUUUCUUUCAUACUGUCUCUUUUUCUCUGUCAAAACAUCAGUCUAUUCAAACUUGCCUUUGCUCUGCUGCUGCAACAACUGAUCAAGCAAUCACGUUAUUUACAAGCAAGGACCUUAAGUUUCCAGUUUUUCCACUCUCAUUUUGCAUAUUUUACAUGAUCUGUAAGUUUAGUUCCUUCUCUUCCUUUCUCCCUUAGCUCUCUUCCUUUGCCUUUACUCUUCUGUGGUCCUCCAUUUCUCUGUGCGGUAGAGGUAAUCACUUAGCUUUCAAGUUUAUUUUUUUCUCUAAAAUUUACCUUAAAGUCAAGUGCUUUUCUGGGUAUGCAGUAAUUUUUUCCUCUAAUAUUUUCCAACUAAUAUUCUUGUUUAAUCUGCAUAAAGUUCGUAUUUUGAUGUGAUUAUUUUCUGGGUAUGACUUAUUUUGGAUAUUCAUGUGUCUUUUGAUUGUAUACCUGUUGAUUUUGUUGGGCUUUAUUAGAUUACUUCUUUGAUAGGCAUGAAUCAGUGGUAAAGAUUGUAUUUUUUUCCCAUUUGUGAGGGUGUUUAGCAUGGUUAUGUUUACUCUUAAAAUUUCAGAUUAAUUGCUGAAGUGUUUUUCUCACACACCCACAUUCUAGUUUGCGCUAAUGUAUAUUUAAAGGUUUUUUCUAGGAGAUUAUUGGGUAAUUAGUGUUGUUUGAAUGGAAAAUUUUAAGGGAGAUUAUUGGAUAAUUAGUGUUGUAUUUGUACUGGAAUUUUAUUUAUAAUUUUUUGUGGGUGCAUUUUCUGUAGUUAAGUUGAAAUUAUGACGAGGGUAGGCCGUGAUUUUGGAGAUACAAUGCAAAAGGAGGCAGUCCCACCAGUUUCAGCUGAUGUGGUGUUUACUUCUAGUCGGUUUCCAAAUUACAAGAUUGGAGCAAACAAUCAGAUUGUGGAGGUGAAGGAGGACCCCAAAGUUUUAUCUAUGAAAGAGGUGGUUGCAAGGGAGACCGCCCAGUUGCUGGAGCAGCAAAAACGCCUCUCAGUUCGGGAUUUGGCCAGCAAGUUUGAGAAGGGCUUGGCUGCAGCUGCCAAGUUGUCUGAUGAGGUUUUUUUGAUACGAGUCAUGGAAAUUUUUAAGUUUUUUCUUUCUCUAUUGUCUGUGGUACAACUGCCUUUGCAACCGGACUAACUUUGAACUUUUGCGAGGUUGGAAUCGUCAUAAAUUGGCAUAUAAUGUCUAUUCUACUAUCUGGGAAUAUCCUAUUGCAUUUUUCUUUCUAGUUGAUGUGUUAGAUGGGAUAUUUUGAACAACCCAAAUUAAUGUUUGUCAGUGACUUUUGGAGGGUGUGAUGCUCCUUUGCACUUGCACGAGUAUUAUGGAAAAAUGGUUCGAACCAUUUAGUUUGGACGUAUUGCAUGAGAUGUUCAUUAAAGGAAUUGUAGUUUGUAAUAUUUAGGUUUCUAGAUGACCUGCAUUGGUUCAUGUAAAGGUACGAACAUGUAGACUUGAAGAUGCAACAAGUUGUGCAUGGGGAAGUGAUGGUAAUUUAUAAGUGCCUGUCUUGGAAACUUGUUUUUGGGGUUGGGGCGGGGGGGGGGGGGCAUUCUUUAAAACAGAUUCUGUUUUCAAAUUUCCUGGCCCAGCUUUAAUGCAAUAGUAUUAAGGAAGUAUGGUGCCUUUGAUGACAUUGAAAGAUGUUCCUUGAUCCAUUUCAGGCAAAACUCAGAGAGGCAGCUUCUCUGGAGAAACAUGUCUUGUUAAAGAAGCUUAGAGAUGCACUUGAAGCUCUAAGAGGACGCGUUGCUGGCAAAAACAAAGAAGAUGUAGAGGAAGCUAUUGCUAUGGUCAGUAUUUGUGGCUUUUACUGUUUUAUUUUUUUUAUUUGUGGUAUUUCCUGAUCAUGUUUAGAAGGAUGGACAUGGAUUUGACAUGACCUGGGCAUUUGUGGUGAAAUUUAUCUAAAAAUUAGGGUACAGAUUUUCUGCAAAUUAUAUAUGUCUGUGUGCAAAUUUAUAUAGAACGUUGUUGUUAUAACUUGAUGUUUUGGUUAAGACCCCAAGACAUAAACAGAAUUCUGCAGUUAUACCCAAGAAUCUCAUGGGCCAUGUGCAAAGCAUAUCUUGAGAAAUUCUUGCUAUUUUUCUGAAUUGCUUUAGGGAAACUAUUUUUUACAUGUUUAAAUAAUGCUUUAGCUUUGCGUAUCGCAAAAUUGUUUUCCAUUUUCUGUUUUCAGUUUCAAACAAAAAUCUCUUGGGCUUCUUUUUGUUACAGUACUUUAUUAGCUACUGCUUUUGAAAAAGGGAAAAAAUUUGGUCUGUUUUGGUGAAAUUUUGUGCUGGUUUGUGAAGAUGUAGGUAUGAAUAUACCUGUGAGUUCUUAUGCUUUUGAAUUCUGUUAAGUAUUGGGCAAAUUUGGAAUAAGGGAACAGGAAGAGCGGAAAUUCACAAGUAGGGUGCAAGUUUUGGGAAAUUAAUUAAUGGGGUAUGGGUUACCAUUCAUAAACUAUAAAAAUGUUGUCGCUGUAGGUAAAAUUAUGAAUAAUCUUAUCUGCACAUACUAGCACUUGUAUAUGCACAUUCGAGCAUACAUAUGUGCACAUGUAUCGAUUUAAAUAUGCACAUUUGAAUGUACGCCUAUAUACACCAAAGUACACAUUUUAAUUUGUUAAGUUGCACAUUUCUAUUCAACAGGUUCAACAGGGUGCACAUUGUUACAAGGAAUUCAGUCAUUUAGCAAUAAAUUUAUUAGUUAAUUUAAUUCAUGAACAAUAACCCAUUCGCUGUUUGCAAAUUUUCUAAAAGUUACACUCUACUUAUAAAUUUUCGAUCUUCCAAUAACCUUUUUCAAAAUUUCCAUUAGGUAUUUAUUAAAGAUGGAAAUUUAUCAUCUCCACUUUAUGUGGAAUUUCAAGCAAGCUGUCUAUAUUCAUUCUACGGAUUAGGGUAUGUUCAUUAAGUUUUAUGAUUAACUCAAGUAUCUUUAAAGAACCCAAUUAAAACAAAAAGGAAUACUGCUGCUUCUAGAAAUAAGAAAAUUUUAACUUUGGACUAUGAAAAGGUGGAAUAUUUCACCAAUAAAGAUUGCCGGCCACAAGCGUUUUUUGUUACCUCACUGGGAUUUCUGUACUUUUAAAUUCUUACUCCUACAAAAACAAAGCAAAAUUCUCUCAAAAUUCUAGGUCUAGGGAGAGGACAGCAGAUGCUUUUGCUCAGAGCUUGUAUUUUCAUGCUAAACUAAGAAGCAGAAGAUCUAUCUAAUCUUGCUGGGGCUGCUUAUGUGCUUCUGCACCGUCUCUCACUUUCUUGCUGUUUUCAUUUACUUGAGAAAUGUUUGAUUUUGGAAGAGCAUUUUUUUUGGGUCUUUUUCCUUUUCCUUGGUAAGAUGGCGUUCUCUUUUAGCAUCUAAUCUUUUCAAAUUCUAGUUAAUUACUAUUGUGAUCCAAUAUUUGGUCUAUGUAGCUUUAAGAACUGUUGUAUAUUCGUUUUGGUCUACAUUACUAAGAUGCCAAUACAGGGUUGUAUGAGGUGGUUGGUUGUUUUGUUGGUGACAUAUUGUUUUGUAUAUGCUAAUUUAUUGUUGAAAGUUGCUAAUAUUUUGCACUUGGAAAUGUUUAGGUUGAGGCUUUAGCUGUUCAGUUGACCCAGAGGGAAGGAGAGCUAAUUCAGGAGAAGGCAGAAGUCAAAAAGCUUGCAUCUUUUCUGAAGCAGGUAUAAUUUAAGUAUGUAGUAUUGCAUGAGCCAGGAAGUCUCAAAAAGCAUUUCAGGACUAAUAUCAAUUACUAAUUUCUAGAUGUGAUUAUCAGCUUUUUUAAAUCUGAAGUUUUAGCUUUUAAAUCAAGUUCAAGUGUUGUAUUGUUAAUGAUACUGUUUUCCGUAAAAUUCUUCUAUCAAUCCAUUUAUCAUGUCUUAAUUCUUAAGAUAAAUGAUUUUCUUGCAAACGUCUAGGUUUCUACUCUAUCAUUAUUGUGUUCUCCCUUAAAGGUGAUUUGUAUGUCCUUUUGUUUUUGAAGAAAGUUCUAUUGAUAGAGAAGAUAAAAGUGAAGUCGUGUAAAGUCAAAAUUCAGCAUGUUUGUUCUCUUUGUACAGGUUGUCCGAAGAACACCAAUAUGUUUUUAAGUGGUAGCUGGGUCCAGUGUGAACCUGAAAAUGUUUUUUUAGCAGUAAUGCUAUAUGUAUGAUUGCUUAAAUGUAUAAAGUAUGUGGUAAUACAGACGACAAGAAGGUGAACAAAUGACAUGUAGGCCUGAAAUGCAUGACUUGAUGGAGGAAGAUUUUUUUAAUGAAAUAUCCCUGAAAUGUUGGGAUUUUCACUAUUAUGCAAUUCAAAUUUAGCGAAACUUAAUUUAACAAGCGAAGUUUAUCCUUCUUUUUUAGUAGGUUCCCACAGAAAAUAUCUAAGACUCAUCCUUGAAAGUCUUUUCAAUGUCCAUAAUUGCUUAUCCAGUUGUGGAAGCAAGCUAUGUCGACCAUCAUCCAAAGUUAUUGCUGUCUGAUGGUAGAUCUGUUCUAAGGAAUGUUGUGUAUUUUUAAGUGUUUAUAGGAUUCAACUUGGUAGCAUUCUUACCCUUCUUUGCCUAAUCGAAUCUCUUUCUUCAAUCUAGUACGAACCUUUGAACUGCUGUAGAUUAUAGAUGAAACUCCAGAAUUAUAAUUAAGAAAAUUAUUAUUUUCAACCGAUGGUUUUCAGUAACUCGAUUGAUCUUCUUUUAGCCAAUAAUCGAUAGAAGACCUGUUUAUCUUCUGUGAAUGGUGACAAGUUCUAUGAUAUUUUUUUGGUGGAUUAGAAUGAUGCUUUGGUGGAUGCUCAUGAUGCAUGUAGUAGGCUAAUACCAGGCUGUCAUAUCAUAGUGUCUUUCUUUGCAUGUUUUGUUUUUUGUAGUAAUUGGCUCAUCAUCGUUAGCUAUUUUGGAGUAAAUUUCAUGUGCUGAUCGUCCUUUCCUCUUUUUCUUUGUUUACUAAAACUGUAUGCAGCAGCUUUUCUGGGCAAUUUUGGGGAAUAGGAGAAGUUUUCCAGCAUGACUUUAAAAAAGACUGGGGGGGCCUAUUUUCAUCAUUUACUUAUGUGGUCAUUCUUUCAUGUUUGUUCUGCUGUUGGCUUGAGUUGAUGACAUGAAGCUUUGUAGGCUUCUGAAGAUGCUAAAAAACUUGUUGAUGAAGAAAGAGCUUUUGCUCGGGCUGAGAUUGAGAAAGCCAGAGAAGCAGUACAAAGAGUUGAAGAGGCUCUUCAGGAGCAUGAACGGAUAUCCCGGGCUUCAGGACAACAGGUUUCAUUCAAAGUUCCUUGGAAUUACUAUCUGCCAAAAACUUAUAUUUUCCUUGUAUUCUUGUUUCCAUACUUGUCGAGCAUUUAUAUCUUUUCAACUUUUAGUGCUUUGCUAUUGAUUUGUAAUAAGAAAAGUAGGACCAUGAUUGAGUUCAUGAAUGCCUGAUAUAUGGGCUCCGGAAAUGACACCAAAUUGCCUGUUUUACAUUGACUAAGUACAAGUUUCAAGUACAACACCUAUGUCCAAAAUUUAUAGAAUUGGGACUUCUUGUUCAAUUACAGGAGUUGAGUAUUCAUAAGUUAAUACUUUUCCUCAUUCUCAACAAGCUCAUCUUGGUAUGAUUGGGAGGUAAUCUUAGGUUGAACAUCUUAGAAGUGCUAAAGGCUUUGUAGUAGCAUAGAAUUUCCAUCAACACCUAGCAAAGAGCUACAAUGGGAAAUUUGGUGGACUUUGGAAAUCAGCAGGUUUUCAGUAGCAAAACCAGAAGCUGCAUGGUUAUCCUCAUGUAUCAUGCAGCUAUGUGCUCACGGAUAAAGCAAUAUAAGAUAUCCUUUUUUCUAGAUACACCCCAAGAGACGUGUCUUAGCCAUAGCGUGUUGGUGUCAAAUAUCUGAGAUGGAUAUUUGGGUACUUUUCAUGAUCUUAAAAUCUUACCAAGUCCUACUACAAGUAUUAUAAAUCUGUUUUUUGUAAUUUUUGUUUCCCUCUUGUUCAGAACGUCGUUUUCAGCAGUUAAAAAGGUUUGAAAGGCCUUGCAGAAAAUCUUUAUGUACCUUAGCUUUCAAACCAAUGUUAAAUAACUUUGGUCAUCCGAAGGAAAGAAAAAGCUUAAAGAAAAACUGAAGCAAAAGGCGACGAGCACUACUGAUCAAGAUACAUAUAAUUUUUUGGCAGUGAAAUCUGAUUUUGAACCAUACAUCAGGCUCUUCUUUACUCUUCUCAUGUAUAAGAAGUUAAAUCCUUUAACAAAAGCAAUUUUUGCCUAUUGAAACUAUCUCACUUUCUUGCACUUUAUUUGUGUAGAAUUUUGGUGUGAUCUGUACCGUUUGUAAUCGCAUUGUCUUGUUUUGUAAUCAGGACAUAGAUGAGUUGAUGAAGGAGGUUCAAGAGGCUAGACGGAUUAAAAUGCUUCAUCAGCCUAGUAAGGUUGUUAAUUCUGUUCCACUGUGUCUAGAUAGCAUAAUUUCUUUUAUCUCCUCUUGUUCUACAUUUCUUUCAUGUGUUGCAUAAGUGUAGUUUUGUUUAUAAACAAAUUCGUGUUGCAGUCAUUUUUUUCCCUCUUAUCUAAGAAAAGGAAAGAGGAUACCUUGAAUUGGCUCACCACUUUAUCAUGUCUCUUUUGUGGUUUAGACAAAAUUCUUUGGGGAUUUUUUUUUGCAACAUUAACAAAUGUUGGUAGUCCCUUAUCUAAUAACAAGACAUCAGUUGUGGAUUGAUUUGGUGAUUACUUCUUGGCAGUAAAGAGGUUGCCAAGUAGCCUUUUUUUCCUAAAAGUCAACCACAAUGUAUGUCGGAUUUGCAAAAAUCUCCAAAUAGUUUAACUGAAUGAAUUUGGUUUCACACGAUGAUAAUCUCUUUUAUCAUUUAAAUUUGAUCAUUAAACGCUACUCUGUCUUGUUCAGGACAUUGGGUUGGAAUUUGUUGCAAUUUAGAUGACAUUUCUUGUCAUUCUCUCAUGUCUGUCAUGUGUUGUUCAUUUCUUCUGGGUAUAUCUUUGAUGGCAUAGAAAAUUCCUUGUUUCAGCUAAAAGAGUAACUGCUGCAUAUGGUAAACCAUUCAUCCAUCUUUUUGGUAUAUAGUAAAUCACAAUAUGAUUGUUGUUUACAAAACAAUUCCUGAAACUAACUCCAAACCAAAUGAAGCAAAACACAUGUUUCGACAUGCAUGCAGUAUGCAGCUCCAUUUCAUGUAUCAGAUACGGGAGAAACCCAAGACAAUUUUGGUAAAAUGGGGCUGUACAUGGGAGUCAUAUCAAUGUUUUAUAGUUUUUCCUUUAUCCCAAAUAAAUAAACGUAAGAUUCGUUAUAAAUUGUUGUCUUUUCUGCACCAUACGUGUAUUGACUAUUACUUCAUUCACGUGAAUAUGAAUUGGUCUGAAGAUUGUUUAGCUUCUUCUUUGUACCUUCAUCAUUUGUCUGCUUGAGUUUCUAGAGGAUGUUUUUCCACAGAGAAGUUGUCUGGCAGGGUUAGUUAGAAGUCUGUCAUGUUUCCCUCAUGAUUAAUAUUUCAAAUUACCAAUUUCACAGGUCAUGGACAUGGAACAGGAGCUUCUGGCAUUGAGGCUUCAGCUUGUAGAAAAGUCGAAGCAUUCACUGGUGCUUCAGAAAGAGGUUCUUAAUUCGCUCAUCUCUCCUUUGCAAAUGAUAAAUCGGGGAAUGGUAUAUAUUAACAGAAGAAAAGAAGAAAUAUGAACUCAAAAGGAGUGAUUUGGUGUUGCUGCUUGAUGUACACCUACUAGUACACGCUCAAAAUGCUCUCAGUAAUUACUGCUCUAAUUUAUAAUCUGUAAUAAGCUGUCGACAGAUUCUCAGUGGGUUGAACAUCUGUUAAAUGUUGUCUGAAGGGGUGAUUAUGUAUAGUUGGCUCAUAAUUUUAAAUAAGUUUGCCAAUCUUCUUAUCUGACUAAAACAUGAAUUAGUGAUGCAGAGAACUAGGAAUGGGAGACUUAAAUUCUACUGAGCUGCAAAAACUUGGGCUACUUCCGUUGUUGUCACUGUAUCUUGAUUGAUAAUCAACUCUAAAAUGGAUAAUUGAUUUCCAAUUUGGAAGCGUGAUACAGUUUGAGGAGUUCUAGUAGGAGAAUAUAAUCUUGUAUUCAAAAUCUGGCAGUUGCAAUAUAAAAGGGAAAUACUUAGUUGAAGCUAUUUGUUGGAUUUCUUAGGCAAAAUAUGUGAGUUUUUUCAAGUUGAAUGGAAUGCCAGAGAGCAUAAGGGCUUGGCCUUGUAAAGUUGAAAACAUGUUACAAAAAUCUGCAUGGUGUUUCUAGUUUAACCGUAAGCUAAUAUAGAAGAAUAAUGUAGUGGUGUUCAAAUCCAUUCCCCGCAAUUUGAACCUCGAUUAGCUAUCUUUCAUUUUUAGUUUUUGUAAAGUUCUGGGUUAAAACUUAUAUUUGUUGAUUGUGUGGUUAACAUGGUAUAAAAGGCAGUUUGCUAGCUAAAACAUUUUCUUUUGUUUUCUUUGUCAUUUUCUGAAGUUGGCAAUGAACAAAAGGAGUGAGGAGAACAUGUAUGAAUUAGAUGGCACUGAAGCAUUGGGCUCAUAUUUGCGGAUAUGUCCAUGCUCAGAGAGAGCUCUAGAAUUGUCAGAAUGUUCAUUUCAGUGGUACCGGUUAUCAUCUGAAGCUGGGAAAAAGGAACUUAUUUCAGGUAUACCUGUUAAAGCCUUUAUUUCACAUGUAACUAUGUAAAGAGUUCUUUCUUGUUACAAGAGAGUUGCAGGUUUAAGAUCUGUAAUCCAAAAUACAAGACACAUGCUGGUCUGGUAGAUAUAUGCAUUUUUGGUGCCCAAUAUUUGCUUUUUAUUCUUCUUGAUUAACGUGGUUUCCUUCUCAGUUGUUUGGGUUUUGUGUCUUUCCCCCCAUUUUUGUUUUUUUUUUUCAAGUGUGUGCUUAAAAGUCUUCUCAAUGUGGUCUUAAAAGUCUUGUACUUCUGCUUUAGUGUUGACAAUUGUUAUGUUUUGAGGUUGCCUUCCAGUACUGGGAAAUGAACUAGUGACAUGUUGGAUGUGAUAAAUAAGAGCCUCCAUCUGGAAACUUUGUACUUCUGAAUUAUUGUUGGCCAUAAUUGAGAAUCAUGGUUUUGCUGCAUCUUAUACAACUGUCUAAUGAUGAUUGCUAUUAAUUAAGGGCAAGGUUUUAGUUGAAGAUUCCUGGCCUCUGAUUAAAGUUUUUCUGUCUAUUGGUCAUUAUCUCCUUGGACUUAUCUGAUUUUUAGGUUGUAUGCAUAUGUAGCAGUCAAUGGUAUUCAAGCUGGUGCUUGAUGUUACAUCAUGCUUCAAAUGUUUUGAAUUCUCAUGUUUUUCUGUUUUCUACUAUGCUAACUCAAGUGAAGAAAUGCACGGUUUGGCUUUUGGAAUACCUUUUGAUUUAUCCCAUCUUACACACUGGAAGUGCAACUUAUAAAAAUAUGCAUGUCUUAUGACUGUUGUGAAUCUGUUCAUGGUACCUUCUGUCCCAUUUUUGUCAAGGCGUUACUUUCAUUAAGAAAUUAGGCACCCAGAUUAUUGAUCAAAGUAGCAUUGGAUUAUGCUGAUUGAUCAAUUUUUAUUAUUAGGUUGUAGACAUAGCAGCCAAAAUUGUAACAUUGAAAUUGAAGAAUUAUAUUUUAAAGUAUAGGAGUGAAUACGCUUGAAAGCUCAAAUCGACACAAUCAACAGUAUGGUAAAGUGGAUGAUGGAACAUAUUGCAAUUUCUCCAAAAAAAUGUGUUCCAUUUUAUUUGAACUGCAAGCCGUUUUAGUUGGAACUGCAUCCCCAUACUGAUGAAUAGGAGUCUAUUAUGGAUUCAACCAAGAAUUCUUAUGGUCUCUCUCCUUUGGCCUUAUUUUAUGACUGUUUUUUCACUCUGAUAGCAGGAUCAACUCAUUUUAUAUCACAAAUUUUCUUUCACAUUACAGUCCUUUAUAGUUACCUUGAUUAUAGCUUCAUCUCUGAAAUAUGAUUAACAAACUUUGCAUAUAAACAGGCGCCACUAAAUCAGUUUAUGCACCUGAGCCUUUUGACGUUGGUCGAAUUUUACAUGCUGAAAUAAUAUCAGAUGGCCAAAUGACGACGGUGGCAACUACUGGUCCUAUUGAUCCUGGUCUGUUCUUGAUCCUGGAUUUUAAAUAUGUAAUUUGAUUACGGGAUUUUUUUUUUGGCCUUUUCCUUUUCCGGAAUAGCCAAGUCAAGUUUAUGUUCACUCUUUUCGCUAUAUGCUACUUCUUUCUACAUUUUAGGGUUCAGGUCAAGUGUGCAAUAUUACUGAUUCAAUAUUUGUAACACAGCUCCAGGAUUAGGGAACUAUGUGGAAGCAUUGGUCCGGAGGCAUGAUAUCGAAUUUAAUGUAGGUUAUUCUUUCUUUCAUUUCAAUAAAGUUGUGAUCAGUUUACUUGUUUUACUCUGUGGCAUGACUUGAAUCAAUCUGUCUGUGGGAAUUCAACAUGUUAAUCUUAAUAGGAUCUCCGUCCUAAUUGUAUUUCCAGCGUAUACAGUUAAUUCCAGGACUUGAAAAUUUUGGAAGAUGCUAUGUUAUGAAAUAUUGGAGAUCUGAUUUUUUACUAUGUAUUUGCAUCAAUACAGCAAGAACCCUUUUCUAUGGGUAUUAGUGCCAUCUAAUCUAAUGUAAAAGUGGACACUUGUUUUUCUCAAUUUAAUUUUAGGUAACUAUAGUGCAGUGAGACAUUAUAGACUUUGUUCCAUUCAAUUUUUUUCAUACUCUAGUAUGGAUUAGAACUUUGUUUUGUCAUAGAAUGUAUUGGUACACAUUUUAAGUGCUUGCAAACACACAAGAAAUUAUGUUUAGUUUGGAGAAUGUUUAUGGUUUAUACAUAUAGUUACUUAUGAUUCACAUGUAUGCAAAGACUAGUUGCCCAUGUCAAGGAAAAUGGAGGAAGUGGUGAUGCACCACUUAACUUUUAUUCAUACAUAUUGCUAAAUGUUGUUGUAUGAAGAUUCCCAUUCAUAUAAAGAAUGCGUGGGUAAUAUUUUCUCUGAGGCAUGUGUCACAUAACUUCAAUAUAAAUAAAAAGAAAGUAAUGCCUGUUAUUUAGUCUUAGCUAGGGAGUGAAAACUUAGUUGGUUCCUGAAUUUUUAUUAUACAAAAUUCUUGGUUGUCAAAGUAUUAAUUGGAAGUGGAGUGACCUGUAUGUUUUACUUGCUCUCCGGAAAGAAGAUAAGCAUAUAAGCACUGCUUGUUCUCUAGAGCUUGGAAUGUUACUAGUUGCCGUCUAUAGAAACAGAAAUACUAUGCAAACUUCUUUAAUUACAAUGAGCUAGUUGUUAGGGCUAUAAUUCUCCUUGUGUAGAUGCACGGCCUAAAUUUAAUUAUCCAGUUGGGGCUAAAUUAAAUCUUAUGUGCUGCCUAUGUCUAUUGCAAUGGUAUUUACUUAUUCGUUUUAACUAUCUAAUUUGACGCACACACUCAAUAUUGUUUUCCUUGAAACUCUAAAUUCCUGUCAAAAAGUCUCACAUUACAUUGUAAUAAUUUAGCAUAAGAAUAUCCCAAUGCAUUCAUUUUCAUCUAUUCUGUUGCAUGCUGGAUUAUUUUCACUAUGUAUCAUGUUAGGACAUUAAUAGAAGCACUUUGUGUGAUGAAUGAUACCUCUAUUCACUUUUCGUCUCAAGUCUUUGUUGUCAUAACUAAAAUAGCAUGCACCUCUGUCUCAAUACAAUUAAAUUAGAUGCCUUUAUUGCCUCUGCUAUUUUGCUUGUGUAGCGAGCUACAAUAUGGGUUCCACAUUUUUCUUUCCCAGUUUUUCUCAUUAUUUUAGUGCGUAUGUGACACUAUGAUAUAUGGUUGUUUACAUAUCAAAUCAAGGCUUUUUUCUACAUGGUCUUAGAGAGUUGAUGGAAAAUGGAGCAUGGUCUAAGAAUAUGGCAAAUAUAUGGCCUACACGUAAAACUGGGUUUGUUGAUUAGCUUGUGAUGUGCUGGUACAGUCUCUGUACACAGCUAGGGAAAAAUGCAUUUUAACUUUGAUGAUAUUGUUGAUAAUGCAGAAUUUAUAUCAUUUUCUAAUGGCCUGAAAAUUGUAUUAGUCUUUAUACACUAUUACUUGUAUGUAAUUGUCCAAUUGUGGGACUAUUCUUAUUACUCUGACACAUUUUCAAUUUAGUUCUUUUUUCAUUUUAAUGUUAAAUUUUGUUGCUAUAUCCUGUCACUGCAAUUAUCACAUUUACAUUGUUAAAAUAUUUGUGCUGGUUGCAGGUAGUUAUUGUGCAGAUGAAUGGCUUAGAUCAUUCAUCACAGUCGAUACAUGUGCUUCAUAUUGGAAAGAUGAGAAUGAAACUUCAUAAGGGCAAGACUACAAUGACAAAAGAAUACUAUUCCACUUCAAUGCAGGUAUAUCCAUUCUAUUUAUCCAUUAUUUUAAUGAAGAUACCAUUCGUAUUACCGUGGUUUUGAAAGUUGUAUCAUGAAGACAUUUUUUCACAAAAAAAAAAAGCAUUGCAAAAUCUGAGUAUCUCUUGGUCCAAUCCUUUUUUUGGGUCCUUUUGGGAAGGAAUUAUUAGAUAGUGGCUAUGAAACUUGGACUAGGAAGGACCUGAAAAAGGAUUAUGUUAAGACCUCAAAAUAACAGAUGAUAAUGAUGCAGCAGUCUAAUGAAGCGAACAAUCCUGCAAGUGUACAAGCACUGGAUGAAACAAUGGACAAGAGGCCAGAAAUUAUGUAGUAAUAGUAGAACACCACUUGAAACAAACUCCUCAGAUUCCAAUCGCCUUAAACUGCUACCCUUAUCAAAGGUAAGUGAAAAUUUGCAAAAUAGUCUUGAAGUAAGUUAAAACUAUACACAAGGCUAAGCCCAGUGCUUAGCAAGGAGGAUCAAUCCUAAAAUUAGAGAUGUCCAAAAGCAAGUCUCAGCAACAAUAUGAAAAUCAGAAUCAGUUCAAAUUUGGACUAUAUUCCAACCUUGUUAGAAUUUAGACCGUGCUCUUUUGUUUCUGCACGACUUAGGGCAGUGAAGAUUGAUGACCAAGAUAUAUAAGAGUGCACGCCCUUUAAUCUUGGCUCCAUUGCUCACAGACGUAAACAAGAGGAGAAAGCUGGGUUGUAGGCCAUAUGACAGCUUUUAGGCUGGUAAUGUGCUAGGGGAAUAUGCUAGGAGAUCGUGGAAGGAGUAGAUGUGCUAAAACACAAUGUGCAUGAAGAGUUGAUUGAAGAAAUUGGGCCCAUUGAGAUGUAUCUUAAAACUAAGAUCAUUUGUCAAUUGUCGUAGAAGGCAAAAGACAGUGUAUUACACCCACUAAAUUUCUGGCCAUACAAAUUCUCUGUGGCUAUCAAGGAUUGGGACUUGGCCUUGGUGGAUUUGUUUUGCCACUGACUUUAAAUAUCAGAUGCUGUUGUUGGAGACGGCUUUAUAUUGGUCUUUGUUACCAGGCUGUCAGCCUCUGUAUGUCUUCUCAGUUCUUGCAUCAAGAUGAAUGUGGUAGAUUAAAUUGGAUAAUAAAUAAUCCCUCUUUAGAGGGUAUCAUAAACAUCUUUUGGCAUUUUAGCACAGACAAUAUAUCAGCAUAAAAAUAUCCUAUGAAAGGUUCAGUGUUUGAAUAGCGGGUUCCAUAAUGUACAGAUGCAAAGUUGUAAUUACAGCAUGAGAUUCUGUUUUAUCCAUUUAAAAUUGCACAGUCUGGUGCUUAAUCCACACCAUAUACAUGGCAUUUUUGCGGCAUAGGUGUUCCACCUUUCCAAAACUAUUUGUUGCGACAUUUCUUUCAUUUUUGUUUGGAGUUUCAAUCCAUUUUUUUUUCCCCCAGAUGUGAUCUGUGCUCUAUUUUACUGUGCUAAUGAUUGUUUGUUUAAUCAUUAUCAUUGCAUUUUCAGCUUUGUGGCGUUAGAGGUGGCGGAAACGCCGCAGCCCAAGCUGCUUUUUGGCAAGCAAAAGUAGGGCUUUCCUUCGUAUUAGCGUUUGAAUCGGAAAGAGAGAGAAAUGCAGCCAUCAUGCUUGCCAGGCGUUUUGCCUUCGAUUGCAAUGUAAGUACCAAAAACCUGUAUGAUCAAUUCUUGUUACUAACAUUCUUCCAAAGAUGGCUUCCAUUACAAGAAUAAUAAAACCUGAAUAUAUCUCAUUUUCAGAUCAUGCUUGCCGGGCCAGAUGAUAGAGCUGCUCCAGCAACUUGAAAAUGGUACCUGGUUCUAUAGCAGAUGUAAUUAUACUGAUUUCCAUUGUCUUUUGUAUAAUACGAGUUUGCAGUAGGAAAUAGAUUUAACCUUUGAUUGUAAUGUGGGUUUUCGCCACCUCUUUCAUUUUUUUCUUUCAAUUUUUUCCCUUGUAUUUUUUCUUUUUUUGGGUUUCCCCCUACUUCCUAGGCGAGGCAGGCUUUUUCUUAUUAGCCUCAAGCUGGUCGAAAAGAGCAAAGUAUAUUUGUGCACUACUUUCAUUUCGAUUGAAUGAUGAUUGACAUUGGAAGGACAAGAAAAGUAUGCUGAUGAUUGCUGUCUUCUUACCAUUUUUUCCCCUGAAAAGAGGACUAGUGAUUCCUCACUUAUCUAUUGUCUUCUUGCCCCUCUCUUUCUGAACUGUCAAGCAAACAUAAAAUUUGUGAAAUAACUCUUCUGUUGAAAUAGUAUGCCUUAGGACCACAAUAAAUAAAUAAAUAAUUAUGGUUUGUAAUUGGACGAAUUUAAUUUUUAUUGAAUAUGUCUGAUGGUAGGGAUAUAUCAUUUAGUUUCAUGUUUAUUUUAUUUUGGUUGAAUGAAAUGGUAGUCCAAAAUAACAGCUGAUGAAAUGGUAAAAGACGUGAGUAGAAUAAUGGUUUCACAACAAUUCAAUGCUUGAUGAUUUUUGUUUCUUGUCUUAGAAUUUAUGUUUGAUUUUCACUAUAUCUCCUUUUCCAACUUCCUUUCUUAGUCUUCCCAUUUGUUGAAGAAAAGGGCAUAAAUGGUCACUAAACCAUUUAAAAUUCUCUAAAUCAAUCACUAAACCUUUUUAUUAGCCGUAAUGGUCACUAAACCAUUUAUUAAUAAGUCAAAUAAUGAAAACACGUUUUGUUAUCACUCACGUAACCCAAAAAAGAAAGACAUUUUUUGGUCCAAAAAUGUACAGCAGAAUUAGUUGAAUACUAUUUUGGUAGAAGAAAAAAAAAUUUAGGUGCAUAUGUCAAAUGUCAAGUACUUUGACAUAAAAAAAAUAUAUUUUUGUUAAGUGAGGUCCGAAAGACAAAUAUAAAUAGUAGUAUUAGGAUAUCCUUCAAAUUGUGCCCUCCAACAAUUUGACAAAAAUUAGUCAAAAUUUGAAUGCUAAUUGAAUCAAUUUUGUUUUAGCAAAGCUCUAUCGUUUACCAGAUCUCAUUGUGUUCUAAAGUCUUAUUUGUAGUAGCAAUGUUCUAAUUGAAUACUAAGUCUGGUAGGCAUUAUCAUUUUCCCCCCCAAGUCUAAUGUCUCCAUGUAUGUAUAAUCAGAAUGAUGAACUAAAAAGAAAUUUUGCAAUACAAGCGCAGACACUUGCAAUAUAUUAUAUAUAUAUACACACCAUUCCACCUCUCCUCACACUCUUUCCGCUUCCAAACUGCAAGGCACGGAUUUCGAAUCCUGAACCUUGCAAUUGUAAUAUCUCGUAAUAUUCAGAAUUUCUAAUACCUGUAUUGCCUCUUCCCCGAGCUUUUAUAGCUAAACAUUGUUGAGGUUUUUAUCUUUCACUUUGAUGUUGAUUUCAAAACUCAAAUUUCAAUGUCACAACAAUUUUUCAUUAAAUUGUUAAACAACCCUGUUUAAUUUUUUUUUUCCAAAAAAAUGGACAUUUAUCAGGCAAAAAAUUAGGGCUCCUUUCAGCAUACCCUAAUGGCAAUAUACCAAGUUUGACACGAUUUCUUGCCAAACGCAACAAUUGGAAAGCAAAGUAUAUGACAAAGGAUUGGAGCACCAAUUUUAGGUGUUAAGGUUUGCCUAAAACAGCAUUAUGGGUGGCUUUCCUAUUUUGCCCCUUUGUUGACCAGCAAUUGAUGGAGAAAGUUUACAAAUUUGGUGGUUCAAUCAAAUAAGGAUCAAAAUAGCCACAUAAAUAUUGUUCACAGACUAAAUUAGCUAAGAACAAAGUUUAAGAAUUUUUUUGCUUUAGUGAGAUAGUUGAAGGACUAUAUUGGUCCUUUGCUCUCAAGAUUAUUUUGGAACUUUAAAGAAGUGAAUCAUUUUAGUAAAGAUUGCUUGGACAUUAAAUCCUUAACCUGAGUUAUUACUUGCCGUAUUAAAUCCCAAACUUGAGUUAUUACUUACAGCCAAACUAUCCAUUAAGAAAAGGGCUAAUUGCAAUUUGCACCCUCAAUCUAUUACUGAUUUGCAAUUUGCACCGUGAACUAUCAAUUUUAGCAAUUAAGUAACUUAUUUACUUAAAUUGAUCGAAAAUCAAUUGCUUUUUAUUGGUACUUUUGAUUGAAAAGACUUUACUACCCCUAAAUGAAUAAGAGAAUUAUGAAAUCAUGGGUAAUUUUUUUGUUAUUUUUCUCCUAAAGCAAAUUAGGAGUACUAAAGAUCUUUGAUUUACAAAAUAGUGAGAAAGAUUCAUUGGUUUUCAAAUGAUUUGAACAACGUGUUAGAAUUUGAUAGUAUAAGGUGCUAAAGUGCUAGGAUUGAUAGUUUUGGAUGCAAACUGCUAAUCAGUGAUAAUUUCAUGCAAGCAAAUCACAACUCGGAGAGAAAAUUCUAAGAUUGUGAUGGAAUUAAAAAAAAAAAAAUUCUACAAUGGGGCUGACUUUAGUGCCGAAUGUGAACUUGGUCAAGCUUGCAUUCAGCAAUUGCUAGGUUCCCCAUUUAUAUUUAUUAAUAAAAGUCUUUCGUGCCUGAGAAUUUUUUAGAAUUAAUAAAAAGAUAUGGAGUUCACAUUCAUCUAACAGGUUAAAAUCAUCUAUCUAACAGAAUAUAUAUAUAUAUAUAUAUAUUCCAAAAUAAACCCUAAGGUUGCUAGAGGAUAAUUUGUUCAAGUGUUGAACUUGGGUUUCUCAAAAUAUGUAUUUGGAAGUGGUGACAAUCUUUUACUUUGUUUAUGGUUAUGGACUGUCAAAAAAAUACAGAUUACUACUAAGUAAUUUCUCUAAUAUUAAAUUAGAUAGUUAUUUUCUUUCAAUACCCUAUAGGCUCCAGACGGGAUCCUUUGUCUAUUAUAUCUGUUCAUUUUUCCUGUUCAAUGCAAAACUACGUAGUUCCACUUACUAAUAUUGCUGAUGUGACACAUAACAUUGAAUGUAUAUUUAGGGGGUGUUUGGUAAAUAGGUGAGAUCCUCUGUCCAUUAUAUAUAUUUAUUUUUCCUGUCCAAUACAAAACUACGUAGUUCCAUUUAUAAAUUGGGAAAAGAGUCUCAAUGGCCCUCUAACUCUUACUCAGGUAAAGUUUUGGCCCUCCAACAAUUAAAAAAACGGUUUUGGCCCUCGAUCUAACAAAAUGGCAUAUUCGUGGCCCUUCUGUCAAAUCCAGCAGUUAACUAUGACGGGAAGCUUCAUCUCGUGAGAUGUGCGCACAAAUAUGAAUGGCACUAUAGUCUCUUAAGGAUGGUUGACCAAACAAAGAGAGAGUAAAAAGGUAGCUUCUUCUCUUACCUUAAGUUAGAGCAACAAAGUCUGCAGCAAUUCAAAGUUGGAGCUGAAAAUGCGAAGAAUGAGCAGUUCCCCUCUACCGGUGUGCAGAUGUGAGAAAGAGACUAGAGUGAUUACUUCAUGGACUUCAAAAAAUCCUGGACGAAGGUUUGCUGUGUGCGCUGAAGGUUGCUGCGGAUAUUGGGCAUGGAUCGAUGAGGAGAUGUGCCGACGGGCUACAGAAAUUAUACCUGGCCUUCUUCGAAAGAUUAAUGCAACUGAAAAGGACAGAGAUGAAUAUGAAGAAAUAGCAAGAAGAAAUGAAAGAAAGGUAACAAAAUUGAAGGAAAAAGUUAAAGAAUUGGAGAAAGACAUUCGCAGCAAAAAAUGGGUUAAUAAGUUGCUAGGGAAAUUGCUCUUUUUAACAUGGAUAUUGAUUUUUUUAAUUUUGAUGAGUUGGGGCCAAAAAAAGGGAAAUCUUGUCAGUUUUCGACAAAUACAAGGUGCUUGCAAACACCUGGCCCUUACCAAGUUGAAGUUUGCAGGGGAAGAAGAUGAUCCAAAUUGUUCAUUUUAAUGUAAAUUUUUGAUUUGUAGUUGUACGAUGUUUCCGCAAACCUUGUAAUCAAAUCUGUGUUUGUGCUGGUUCUAAUGAAAUAUCUGCUCAUCUCUUUUUAUUAAAUAAAAGUGCUGAAGUUCAUUUGUUCGACUCAAUGAAUUGGUUUGGUAUUGUGCUUAGAAAGAAGGUAUAAUAAUGGUGUAAGAAGGAGUACAUAAAGCCAUAAUGUAUACAUCAUAUUAAUCACUUGUCAAUGAGUAUCAAAAGGAACUGCUAUAAUACAAAGCAGAAUCAGCAUGUUACCAACAAGCAACUGCUAGACAAAAAAAACAGAGAAGAACUGCUAGACACAAAAUGAAUUGUCAUCAUCAGUUUACACAGGAUAAGACAAAAAGAGUUUGUCAAACAGAAAUAAGUCUAUCAUGGCUGAGUUCCUCUUCCAGUGGCUUUUCCUCUCAUUUCUCUUUCACCUUGUCUUCCUCUUCCUCUUCCUUUUGCUCUGCCUCUGCCUCUUCCACUCCAUCUCCCCCUCCAGUUUCCAACUGCGAAUGGGGGUUCUUUACCCAAAUAAGCAUAGUUCGCAUUGAUAGCUCCUUUUUCGGCAUCAGUAAGUAGUUUUGUAGCUGAGUUUUUUCUUCGCUGCGAAUGAUGAUGUUGUUGGCUCUGUUGUGGAUGUUGCUGUCCAGUUUCAUCGUUAGCCUGUUGCAUUUGUUGUUGCACAUUUUGAGAAGACUGACCUGGUUCCUUAUUCUUAUCAAAAUUGUACAUGACACAAAUAAGUACAUGACGGAUGUAAAAUAGUGAAAAAUUAAUAGCAAUUGCAUGCACUUACUGUCCUCUCUUUUUCUACUGAUUGCUGCCUCUGCUGAUUACUCGGUUGAGCUUCGGAUGACUGGUUAGAACAUUGUUGUGCUUCUUCAUUGGAAGGCUUCUUGCACGUAGCUGCAUUAUGACCAACCUCACCGCAUUUUCUACAAUGAAUGACAACUCUCCUCCUCAACCUUCUGCCAUGAUCUCUCCCCUCAGUCACAUCCCUUCUCCUAGCCUUUUUAGGCCUACCAGGUUGAGUAACUGGUAUUGGUGGAUCCAACACAGGCAUGGUGGAUGAGGGCCAAUGAUCCUCGCCACUAAUUGGCUGCAAAACAUUCUCAUAAAUCUGGAAGAAGAGGCCUCUGCUAUAAGAACGAUCCAGAUAAGAGUAAAGAUCCUCUUCUCGCAUGAAGAUAGCAGCAAUUGCAUGACAGCAGGGAAUUCCACUAACCUCCCAUAAUCUGCAAGUACAAUAUUUUUUUUGCAUAUCUACUGCAAAUUGGGCCCCUCUUGGACCUUUGACUUGAUAGCCAUGCAGUGCAUUCCAAAUGGGCAUCCACUGACUUGAAUGCUUGACUCUAGUCUGAACAAUCUCAUUAAUUAAAGGUCCAGUGGAGCCCUUACAUUUCUCCAUUGCAGCGCGUCUUCUUUGGAUCCUCUCCAUAAGAUAUUCCCUUAUAAUUUCCAACAUUGUGAUGAUAGGUUGGUCCCUUGCAUCUUUAAUGUGGGCAUUGAAGGACUCGCAUAGGUUAUUCACUAUCAUAUCACUCUUGACGUGAGUUGGAAAAUAUGCUUUGCACCAAUGUCGAGGAUGAGGAGCUUUCUUGACCCAUUCGUAUGCAUCCUUAUCAAAAGUUUGAAGUUCUUCCAUAGCUUUGUCGUACAUUUCCACUGUUGUGCAACAUGCUAUGUUUCAUAUCCUGUCUUUAAGAGCCAAACCAGGAUGCUUUUUCUUGAAAUUGCGAUACAUAUGUUGGACACAGUACCUGUUUUUACAAAGUUAUUUAAGUCAUUGUUAAACAAUUGCAAAACUUCAGUGGAAAAAAAAACUUGAUAAAAAUUUCUUAGUUUUAAAGGAAAUCAUGAUACCUGUGCUCACAUCCAGGCAGAACAUCACUAAGUGCCCUGUCUAGCCCCUAAAAUGAAAUCAUGAUAUAGACUGUUAGUUUCUACCAUCAUUUGAAUCAAAUGUUGAAUUUCAAAGCUUUCUCGCAUACCUUUUGCUGAUAUGAUAUAAAGGUAUAGUGGCACUGAUUUUCGAUUUCCAAGUCCUCACUUAAAUAUUUGAGAAACCAAGUCCACUGCUCAGUUGCUUCUCUCUCCACAACAGCCCAGGCAAUAGGCCACCAUCCAUUAUUCGGGUCUGCAGCAAUGGCAGUUAGUAACUGUCCUCUAUAAACCCCCUUUAGAUGGCAACCAUCUAGGCCUAUUAUUGGCCUACAGCCAUUCUUGAAUCCCUUCUUCAAUGGGUCUAAACAGCAGUAUAACCUCAUGAAUUUAGGAUUAUCCCCUGAUCCUCUAAAUGGAGUAAACAUUAUCUCCAUUGUACUCCCUUCAUGUGUUUUCUUUAUCUCAGCACAAUACUCCCAAAGUUUCUUAUAUUGUGCUUCGGCCGACCCCUGUAUCAUUUUCAGAGCCAAUUUUCUCGCAUUAGAAGCCACCCAUUUAGAAAUUUGGGUUUGGUACUCCUCAUGCACUGUUUGCCUAAUCUCCCGAGUUGGCAUGCGAGUAUUGGAUCUAAUUCUCUCCAUAUAUCUAUUUGACAACCAAUUGGCCUUCAAAUUUUUGAUUUUCCAGGCAUGAUUACAGUUUUCAUGCUUGUCAUACAUUGUCUUCACCACCAAAUCUGUUGUGCCAAGUGCCUUUUCAACUGAUGCAAACACAUACCAUGGACAUGGAUCUUUACACCUGGCUCUCACCCUCUUUGGUUCAUUCUUCUUUGUGUACACUGGUUUUCCCAUCUUAAUUUCAUAUUCUUGGAUAGCAGCUUUGAAUUGGGCUCUUGAUUCGAAUUUCAAACCCAACUCGAACAUUGUAUCAAUCCUAAAUUUUUCCCAAGAAAAAUCUUUAUACCUGCCAGCAUACUGCUCAGGUUCUUCAUCUUCCUCUGAUGAACCAACAUCACUUCUUAGAUGAUCUGGGAUUGUAUCUUCUGCCAAUGCAUCUGCUUCAGGUGUAGAAUCUCUGGUCUGCUGCUGCUGUUUUGUUUUUCUUCUUCGCCUUACUUGUUUUUUUUUCUGUUGUGCUUGCUGUUGUUCUGAGGACUGUUGUGUUUCAAGUUGUUGAGUAGUAGCCUGUUCAGUAGUAGCCUGCUCAGUUGCAGCCUGCUCAGUUGCUUCUUUUUCAUGCUGUGAAGGUCCUCCACUUUGCACCUCUUCUAAUGUGCUUCUACACUGAGUUGGCUGCAAUGUCAAAUCACCAAGAAGAUCCUCAUCUCUACAGUAUUCUACAUCACCACUGAAUCUGUCACAUUCAUUUUCUGAUCCAGAAUCUUCAUCAUCUCCUCCAUUUCCUUUAUCUUCAUUAGCCUGUUCACACCUCAAUCCUUCUUGUGCCGCAUCUCCUCCCUGCUGUGAAGGUCCUCCAAUUGAAGAACCUACAUGCUGCUGCUCAGGUUGCUGCUCACUUAAGGACCCUUCAUGUUGCUCAGUUUGCUGCUCAAGUUGCUGCUCAAGUUGCUGCUCAGGUUGCUGCUCACUUAAGGACCCUUCCUGUUGCUCAGUUUGUUGCUCAAGUUGCUGCUCAGGUUGCUGCUCAAGUUGCUGCUCACUUAAGGACCCUUCAUGUUGCUCAGUUUGCUGCUCAAGUUGCUGCUCCUGUUGCUGCUCACUUGAGGACCCUUCAUGUUCCUGUUGUGCAUCACCACUUUGCUCACCAAUGUGCUGGCUCUUUGCUGUUCUUCUACUUCGACUCUGUCCUCCAGUUGACCCUCUAAUGAACAGCCUCCUCUUACGAACUAGGUGAAAAAAAGAUUCUUCUACUACACUACCCUCCUCAUCCAACUCUUCUAUCAAAACACCACUUUUCUUCUUCUCUGCUGGUUGGAUCACUAUGGGAGACUUGCAACUAUUAAUUUCUUCAGCUGUUAGAUGGUUGCAAUAGACUUCCAUUACCUUGUACUUAUAAGUCCAACCACAAAACUUGAUAACGUCAUCAUCGGUACAUAACUCUCUUAAACCAUUUCUUAGAUCCUUAUUUGGUUCAAGGUAGUAGUACAUUAUGGCAGCGUUACGAUGUCCCAUUUUCCCCACCAUUUUAUUUAGUUCAAUGGUUGACAUUCUUUCGGCAUUACAAACAUCUACAUAGUCCACCUCUCCAUUAGCAUACGAGACAUACUGUUCCCACAUAAUUCUACCCCCAUGAUGCAUCCGAAUAGUAAAUCAUUCAGAAUCAGUCUCUACAAUAGCAAUUAGGAUAAAACAGUCAACAAAAAACAAACAGAGGCUGACAAAUAAAAUACUGAAUUGGUCAGUAUUCGGCAAAAAAAAAAAGAUCCUAAACAAAUAAAGUGUCCCUUUUCAGCCAUUAAAAUACAUCACUUUCAAAGUAACCUCCUUUGUCCGACAUUAUCAAUUUACAACAAACAAAGUAGGACCACAAACUGGACCACAAACUGGACCACUUAGCCUCCCAACAUCACCAUUACCCAAACAUAUACACAAAUAAGUCCCAUUACACAUGCAUAUACUAAACAAAUAAGUUCCAGUACACAUUGCCCAAACAUAUAAACAAAUCUUAAACCCAAAAGGGUUAGUAAACAACAAUUUCAAUUACCGUAAACAAGGUACGGAUCAAAGUAGUCAUCCUUCCUCCUUAUUCGCCACUUCAUUUCUGCCUUUACAAUCCCUCCCACGCCGGCAAUUACCACUUUCGCUGCAGCGUCCGAAUUGAACACUCUGAUUUAAGUCGCACUAGGGUUUUACAGCAAAGGGGGUGAAAUUGUUGGAGGAAAAAUGGUUGGUGAAACUGUUUUUACUCUGUCUUGGCCAAGAGACUAUAGUGCCCUUCAUAUUUGUGCGCGCAUCUCACGAGAUGAAGCUUCCCGUCAUAGUUAACUGCUGGAUUUGACAGAAGUGCCACGAAUAUGCCAUUUUGUUAGAUCGAGGGCCAAAACCGUUUAUUUAAUUGUUGGAGGGCCAAAACUUUACCUGAGUAAGAGUUAGAGGACCAUUGAGACUCUUUUCCCUUAUAAAUACUGUUGAUGUGGCACAUAACAUUGAAUGCAUAUUUAUGUGGUGUUUGGUAAAUAGGUUUCAAACUCAAUUCUGGCAUGUAUGGCCUACUUUCUGAAUCAACAUGAUUGCACGUAACUGCAACUCUGACAAAUUCAAGCAUCUCGUUCUCAAAUGCUUGCCUAAUCUCAUCUGAAUCAUGCGGCGUGAAAUUCCAAAGUAAAAGACUAUGGGUAAAAUUAGGUAUAAACAAACAUUAUUUAUGGAUAUUAUUAAAUUUGAAACCUAUUUACCAAACCGCUAUGGCUUCUAUGAACAAGAAAAGAACCCAGAUGGAUAGUGCUUGAUUUAUUAUGCAUUUCACUUAAUAUUAUGCAAUAACUUCUUGACAAUAUUGAUGUUGUUAUAAAACUAAUAAAAUAAGCUACUAUAAUAUCAAGUGAAAUAUUGAAGAAAGAAGUAGAGAAAGGGAGAAUGAUAUCCUUAUAUUUCAACAAGAUACAAAAGUCCUUCCAAAGGGUAUCAAUAUACCUCUAUAUAUAGGUACUACAAGAUUAAAAGUACAUAAAUCCUAUUAAACAUCCACUACUACAAUAAUAUGAAGAAACCUAUGAAACGGUUUCUCCACUACAUGUAUAGAUUAAUGGAUUGUAACUUCUAUACAUAAUGUAGCCAUAAAAUCAUGAAUUAAUUCUCUUGGGAAUACAAAGGGACAUCCAUACUUUUAAUUGUUUCAUAACACUCCCCCUUGGAUGUCCAUUACAUAAAGAAUAUGCCUCGUUAAAACCUUAUUAGGGAAAAACCCAUCGGGACAAAAACCCUAGUGAAGGAAAAAGAGUACACUAUUCUUGUGUAUUAAUUUCUCCCCCUGAUGCAAACAUCAUUUGAGAUCUUUUAAUCGUCGCAUUCCAAUAUUCUUCAAUUACACUGAGAUAUGGUACUUCAGGACCAAGUAUCUCUCCAUCUUCCUCUCGUGGUCUAAAAGGAUCCUUAUUAGAAUUUAAUGAUCUGACGACCAUUGAGGUACUUAAUGUAUGUGUCUUAUCUAUAUAAAAUCGCUUUAAUACCUUCCGGGUAUAAGCAGUUUGGUGGACAAAAAUUUCACUUUUCAAAUGCUCAAUUUGUAAAUCAAGGUAGAAUUUUGUUUUUCCAAAAUUCUUGAUCUCAAAAUCCUUCUUCAAAUAUUCAACAUUAUUUUGAAUCUCUUCAGGAGUUCCAAUCAAAUUUAAAUCAUCAACAUAUACAGCAAUUAUCACAAAAUUUGAUCCAUUUUUCUUGAUAAAAACACAUGGACAUAUUGGAUCAUUGGUAUAACCUUCUUUAGUUAGACAUUCAUUGAGGCGGUUAUACCUCAUACGUUCAGAUUGUUUGAGGCCAUACAAAGACCUUUGUAAUUUAAUAGAAUAAAUAUCUUUAGGAUUUGAUUUGCAUGCUUCAGGCAUGUUGAAUCUUUCGGGGAUUCUCAUAUAAAUAUCAUUUUCAAGAUUUCCAUAUAAAUAUGCAGUAACGACGUCCAUUAGACGCAUAUCUAAUUUUUCAUGUACUGCAAAACACAUAAGAUAUUUAAAUGUGAUAGCAUCCACUACAGGUGGAUACGUUUUAUCAUAAUCAAAUCCAGACCUUUGUGAAAAUUCUUGGGCUACAAGUCUUGCUUUAUACCUCACAAUUUCUUUUUUCUCAUUUCUCUUUAUCACAAAUACCCAUUUAUAUUCUACUAGCUUUACACCUUCAGGUGUUUGGACUACAGGUCCAAAAACUUUUCUUUUAACCAGUGAGUCUAAUUCAGAUUGGAUCACAUCUUUCCAUUUUGGCCAAUCAUUUCUAUACCGACAUUCAUCAAUCGAUUUAGAUUCAUAAUUCUCAUCAACUUCUAUAAUAUCAAGUGCUACAUUUUAUUAGGCUCUAAUUAAAUUUUCUUUGAUUUCAUUCUCUUCAGGAGUUGGCUCUUCAGGAGGGAACCUCUUCAAGAGAUUGAAUUUUGUCAUAACAUUCAUUCAAGAGAUUGAAUUUUGUCAUGACAUUCAUUUAAUCUCCGGAGCUAUUUGAAAUCAAUUUACACCUUAUUUAGAUAAGCCGGCCUUAAAUUUAUUUGUAGCACAUGUGUAUGUCCUUCGGGGACAUCAAUUUUAACCAGAGUAUUUUCUGCAAGAAUAGUUGAUUUAAUGACUCUUCUGGAGUCGAUAAAUAUAACUGAUAAUUGGUUUGCAACUUUCUGCAAAUGAAUAAUCUCUUGAACUUCCAGUUCACGUUAUUUUGUAUGAGGAUCGAAGAAAUCUAAUUUUUUUAGAUGAUUUCCUUUCGGUUGAUUUCUUCCUCCCCCUAAUGUCGGGAAUCGUAACUCAUCAGAAUAAAUAAAUCAUUCAAUAGAUCACCCAUCAAUAUUUUACGAUAUUUAAUUGUGAAAGGUGAUUCAUACCCAACAUAAAUUUUAAAUUUCUUUUGGAGCAAUAUAUAAUAUAAAGGGGGUAUGUAUAAAUACUUGUCGACUCUCAAAUAUUCUCACUUUUGUCAAAUCAUAUAUCCAUUGGGAUCAGUAAACUUCUAGUUUACUGCAGGUGAUAAUUAUAAAUCAAAUGAGAAUGAAGACAACUAUAGCGAUAUCCAUUUCUCUCUCGAAUGGUUAUUAUGAUAUAAUUAACCUUUAUCUCAUUUGAUUUCUAAACACGAUCUCUAUUAUUGUCUCAUUUAGUGUCUCAAUUUGAUAUCCAUUUUGACGGAUAUUCAAAUUCAAUAAUUCUUUCGAGACAUGGUAAAAAGUAGUGCUUUAUUUAUGAUAAACUUUCUCCUAUAGGGAGAAAUAUAGCAGUGGCUCUUCCGGAACUUUCAAUCACUUAAGCACUACCACUGAUUGUGUUUGUCUCUUUUGUUGAAAAACAGUGUAUAUAGUAGCAUUUAUUAGCGAGACACAUAUCAUUGCCACCAUAAUUCUUAUGGGACAAAUAUCAUCACCAUAAUUUUUUUUGAUCCCAAAUGUUUAACAUCCAUUUCUUCUUCAGGAAGAAAAGUUAAUUACUAUCAUAAAUUAAAUCAAGCAUCAUACAUUUUCAGGGUAUUUAAAGAAAUUUUUCAUGUGAAAAUGCUUUUAUAAUUUUGAUUCGUCAAAUGUACUUGGGGACAUUUAUCUUCAGGAUCCUUACUUUCUUGUUCUCAUCAUUAUUAUCCCACUUCAAGUGAUAAUUUUUUCUCUUGUCAUGGUAAAAUAUAUAUUUACCAAAAUCAUAGUCAUGGCAGCAACCAUAACUAAUAAAUUGAAAUUUAGUCGCAUUCACUUCUGGGAAUGGAUUAGAACUAGUAUGCAAUAAGCACAAAAUACUUCUCAAAAUUUCUCUUAAUAUUGCUACUACAAGAGCAUAUUUGAGAAAUAUGUAGAGAAUAUUAUUUUCAACUAAGAAAUAAUUCUAAACAUAGCAGAAUUAUGUACUUGCAACUAUAAGUAAAUUUAUCAUACCAAGCUUUGAAAUAAUGACCAUCUUCUGGUGGUCAAAUCUUUUCGUUAAAGAACGACCAUCUUCAAGUGGUCGAAUCUUUUUCUUUAAAUAUUUCAAAGGACAAGUAGAUCCUCAAAUAUAAUUGAUUUUCUAUAAUAGCAUCUCCAAAACUCAAUGCAUCAGAAUAUAAGUAUUUAUAACAAAUAUUUCUAAAGAUAAAUAAAUAGAAUUAAAAAAUGAAAUAUUACCUCAAAGAUGUCAAAGAGUAUAUGUUCUUAUUUAGUAGUUGCUCAGUAGUAGACACUUAUAUUUUGCAAUCAUUCAAAGGUUAACCAUAAUAAAUUGAAAUAAAAUUAUAGGUUAGAAAUUUACCUCAAUAAAUAGACAGAUGUUGGCGAAAAAAAACAUGGACAAAAUCUCGUGUUUCACUUUUACUCAAGGUAAAGCCUCCGUUUUCACCUUUUGCUCAAAAGUAGAGACUCGUGCUGAUAACGUGUUGUAAAACUAAUAAAAUAAGCUACUAUAAUAUCAAGUGAAAUAUUGGAGAAAGAAGUAGAGAAAGGGAGAAUGAUAUCCUUAUAUUUCAACAAGAUACAAAAGUCCUUCCAAAGGGUAUCAAUGUACCUCUAUAUAUAGGUACUACAAGAUUAAAGGUACAUAAAUCCUAUUAAACAUCCACUACUACAAUAAUAUGAAGAAACCUAUGAAACGGUUUCUCCACUACAUGUAUAGAUUAAUGGAUUGUAACUUCUAUACAUAAUGUAGCCAUAAAAUCAUAAAUUAAUCUUCUUGGGAAUACAAAGGGACAUCCAUACUUUUAAUUGUUUCAUAACAGAUGUCUACUUCUUUAGUUUAUUACAUUUAUUCUUCUUUCUUUCUUUUUUUUAUUUUUUUUAUUUUGGUGUUUGUAAUAGACAUAAGGUUGUUGGGAAAGAAGAUGAAUUUGAGGAUGCAACAGUGGCUAGAAAGCUAUUGGGAAAUUGUUGGUAAGAUCCUGGAAACUGGGGUUGGGUAACUUCAUGUAAUUGAAUUGCUUUUGGGCUGCUCUUUUGCCCUACAAACUUCGGUUUUUUCCUUCCGUUACACGGUGUUACGUCAAAUGUGUGACUGACUGAAAAUGCCACCCUUGCGAAUUUGUUCAAUGGUCAGCAGAGUUUCUUGGACUGAUACAAAAGUCUUGUUGGUUCUUCAUUUUCUUUUCUGGUUCUGAAAAUCUUGUUGGUAUAAAUAAAAAGGUCUAUAACCUGUUUUGCUUCAAUUAUAAAUUUAUUACAUUUCAUAAAACUCUCUAAAGUAGUUCAGUUCAUCAUUCUUGCUGCUUGGAUUGCUAUUUUUAGGAAUUUUUAUAGAAAAAUAUUUUGUAGCAAUCUGAUAUAUGUGAAGUAAAAAGAUAAUUAAAAGAUAUGUUCACAAAAAAUGUAAAAUUUUUUUUCGCAGACAACCAUUUUGCAACUAGGGAUUAAUAGAAGAAACAUGACUUUAGAUUGUCCCCUCCGUGUCUCCCUUCAUUGGGGCGGCCAAAUAUGUAGCUUGAGGGCAGGCCAGUAUGUUAUUUUCCUCCAAUUUCUAAUCAUACAUUCAGAUUUCAGCAUAAAAUUGGAUGUGAUGAGUUAGUCAACAAACUACAUCAAUGCCUGGAGGUUGUCAAAAGACAAUUCAAACUAAAAUUUACUCUUCGAACCCCAUGCAGUGGUCCCAUGCAGUGGUCCAAUGAUGUUUAAGAAACUUGCCAAUUAUGUUGCAGAGUUGUAGAUCAAGAGGGAAGAAAUUUCCCAUGCAUCUCCAAUAAACGUCGGACAAAUUGCUAAUGGUCUAAUGAACGAAGUAACGAUAAAGAUUGUUAUAAUCACUCUCCUCUAAAGAAAGGGAUCAUCUAAAAAGCGAUUUGUUUCGUAUCUGUUCAGACAAAAAUUGACAUAGAUAUUAUGGGAUUUGAUUUUUUCUGUAAGAUAAGUGGAUACAGAAAGUCGUGUUGUCGAGAUCUAUUAAGUUGUAAACACCUUUGAAUUUACUCUAUUUGAUUUAAAUUUGAACCAAAGGUAUAAAUUGCUAAUGGUCUAAUGAUGUCUCUAAUUCCAGCAUGCUCGAAGCCAAUGCAGUGUCAAUCUUACUCAGAGAGCUUGCCUCACUUUUCAUCCCCAUUUCAACAUACUGUUCCAGUAGUUUCACGCAUUAGUACUCCCCAGAACCUAAACCCUAUAACAUCCGUUUUUACACCUGCAGACCAUAAAUAAAUUCAAAUCCAAUUACAGUCAGUUUUGCCCUGACAUGCGCUGUUCUUCAAGAAUUGAUCAUGCAAUUGUUAGUUGACUAAAAUAUAUAUAUAUAUAUAUAUUAAAUCUAUAUUGCAAAGCAAUGUUGUUUUAAAGGUAUUGAGCAAAAGUGGAACUAUUGCUUCAAGAUGAAAUACUACAAAUACUGAAUUAAGGCACUAUUAUUUCACGAAUAAAUAUUCUGAUUCUUAUAAAUAGUAAGUCAAGAUUGACUUCUUGUUUAAUAAAUGAAUGAAUAUCUUGUACACACUAAAUACAUGUUUUUCUUUCUUUAGGGAAGGUGGGAUUUUUUUUAUAUUAUUAUUAUUUAGUGUAAAUGGGAGGUUUCGAACUUAGAACAUCUCACUUACAUUCUCUCUUCCGUACCAUGCAACCCAUCAACCCAUCUCUCCUCCCAGGGAAAGUGGGAUUGUAUGCUUCACAGACGCAAUCAUUCAUAUCUCAAUACAUAUAGAUACGGGAAAAAAAACUUAACAACAUGGUAAAGAAAAAAAAAGGGAUUAAGGAGUCUACUAAACUAAUUUAACCACAUACCUGUAGGGACAAAACUCUCUUUGCUUUAGAUUAACUUGGAAUGAAGUCUUUUAACAAAACCAAAAUGAAAAAUUAGCGUAACUAGACGUGCAUUAUUUAGUAUAUGUGAUGUAUUGAUGGCGCUUCGAUAGAGUUCGCAUUUAUCAAAUGCGAGGUCUAAUUCUAAGAAUUUUUAUUAAAAUUUGAAUCUUGACAAAGUUCGGAUGCACUAAAUGCAAUGUCUGUUACCAUGAAAUUUUUUAGGGUAAACACAGUUUACCCGUUGUGGUUUAGCACUUUUUCACAUGAUUUUCUUGUGAUUUGAAAAAUUAUAUAUAACCCCCUCAUAAUUUGGACAAAAGUGUCAACGUCACGGAAUUUGCAUUCCAUAAGGAGUCAACUAAAAUGUUAAAAGUACCCAUUUGUAAAGUUGAAAAUUAUUAAUUAACCACAAGGGAGCUAUGUAUAUAUUUUGAAAACCAUAAGAGGCUUUUGUUGUAAACACUAAAUCAUGAGAGGGUUAUGUAGUAAAACAUAAAAUAAUAAGAGGUUAAAGUGUCUUGCAUAUUAAGUUUAUAUAUUUUAGUCAUUUCACCCAUUUUAGUUUCUAAACAAGAAUAUUCUCAACAUUUCCUUGGCUUUCUUUAUAGAGGAUCAUUUCCGUCACAUUAAACUUUAAUCCAAAUUAUGAAAAAAUCACUAAAUCAAGGGGGGUACAGUGUAUUUUAUCCAAUCCUUUUUUAAAAUCUGAAUUUUAAUACACUUCGCAUUUAGUAAAUGCGAGUUCUAUUUCUGUGCAGUAUUUUUAAAUUCAAACCUUGACAUAUUUCACGUUUCCAAAAUGCAAAGUCUACUUCCGUGAAGAUUUUUUUUUUAAAAAAAAUUUAUUCAAUGAAUGCAAAGACUUUUGGGCCGAAAUACCACAUCAACAUCAACCCCUUAGUAGAAUAUUUUUGAAUUUCUUCACAAAGUUGGAAAUUUCUCCAACUCUUUAACGCUUUCAACACAAUAGGGAAAUAUACCAACGCCGAAAAUGAAAAGCAUAUACAAGGAAACUUCGUAACAGAAACCGUGAUCCCAUGACUUUUGGUUUCCCAUCAAAUAACGUCACCUUGAAAACAUUCGAAUUCAGGUAUCUUAACAUAUGAUGCCGCGGUUGGUCAAUGAUUGAAUUGGAUGAUUAGCUUCUUUCCUGCAUUAAUCAAUUACCAAGAAGACUUUUGAUUUUUCCACGAAAAGGACAGGUGGUUGAAAGAUGAGCUGCAGAAUUUCGACCUUUUCAACUCCUAUCGUAGUAACUUGUGUUCAUUACGCAUAGAAGAUAGUAAGAAGUACGGUACUUGUGUUAUGAAGUCAAAUUUAUGAUUAAUUAAUGCAAAUAACAGAUUAUAAGUUAUCUCUUUUUUUUUUUCAAGGAAAAUUUUUAUUAAUUGAUAGUUUCAUUUGUUAUGUAUUGAUAAAUACCAUUUGGCACCCGUGUUUUAGGGAUGUUUCAUAAAGGGAAAAUUUUUUUUUUAGUUAAACACACCAUCUUCAAUAACACUUUAAAAUAUGUACAAAUUUUAGAGAAAUACUAAAAAAAAAAUACAUUCGAUAGGGUAUCGGCGAUAGAGGAGGAUGGCGGCGUUGGGUAUCCAUCUUCAAAAAUAUUCUAUUACAUUUCUUAGGAUAACUUUAUGAGGUCAAUUAAUCUUAUAUGUUAUAAAGGAGGUCUUCAGAAGGAUACUAGUUUAAUUUCAUAAAAGAAAUUAUUUAGUCUAUGGGAAUGGUCGAAAUUUGACUUUUUUUUCUGGUAAAUUUUUACGUCUAAGAGUUAUUGUCCUGUAAAACUUUUUGAUGUUUCAGAAGAAUUUUUUUUUUUUGUUCGGAUGAUAGUUGAAUUAGAGAAUGGACAAGUAUUUUUUAGACUCCUUGCUAAGUUUAACCAAUUAUUUUGUGGGUAAAUUACAUACAAUCCCCCUGUGGUUUCAUUAUUGCCACAUAACCCUCCUAAUGUUUCAGAAUAUUUACUUCGCCCCCUAUAAUUUUAUGUAAAGUGAAAAUUUGAUAGAAGAUAGUGUAUGUAACAUCGUUAGUUGAAAUAUCAAUAUUGUCCUUACUUCAAUGUUAAAUCAAUCAAUGACUUAACAACCUUAUAAAAAAGUAUAGAGAGAUUACACGGAUAAAUGCAAAAAUUAUUGAGGGAUAAAGUGGUAUUUAUAUAAAUUAUAAGGGAAUUGCAUGGAUAUUGAGAUUUGAUCACACGCACUUUUAAAAUACAUUUGGUAUGAACCCCAUAAUUGAUUGUGCAUUUCAUUCAUUUUUCACUUUACAUAAAAUCACAAGGGAGUUAUAUGACUAUUUUAAAACUUUAAGAGGGGGUCAUCUAGCAUUAUGUAAAAUCACUUGGGAAUAAUAAGUAAUGUACCCUUAUUUUCUUUCUUUCUCUUUUCCUUCAUUUUUAAGGCACUGUACUUCUUUUCACUCCAUUAUGUGACAUUUUAACUUUGUGAUGACUCAAAAAGAAGGGAAAAAGACAACACAACCACAAGAAGAAGAGGGAAACAUAUAAGAAUUUGGACUCUCUUAUAUGGAUUGCAAUAUUCUAUUCUUGGCUGAAAUCUUAGACAAUGCAAUUGCACCAAAUCACAUUUUUAAAUUAAUGAGAAUAAUUUAUAAGAAGGCCAAUGAUUUUUGAGGUAAUGUACCCUUUUUGGCUUCAUGAAAUGACAUAAAGACAUAAAAUAUUUUAGGUGACAAAAUUUAUCUGUCUAUGUAUUCACCAUUAGCUUUCUCUACUUUGAAUCUUCAACUAGCUCAUUUUUUCUACCUUUAAACUAAUCUUAACUUGUUAUAGUACUAAUAAUGGAUGAAGGCCCUAAUACCGCUGAUUUUACAGAUGCCACGUGAGUAAGAAUUGUUUACCAGUCAUGGACUAAAGUAAUAACCUUUGUGGUUCAAGGUUGUUUAUUAUUUUUGGACUUAUUCAUUAUUCUCUAGGUGAAGUUUUACAAUGUUAAACAACGUUAAGAGUCUUUUUAAUAUAUAUUUAUUAUAUAUUUGAAUUUGAAAUCCAAAUUUUGCAUAUGUGUCGUGCAUCUAACCAUGAUAAUAUAUACAUUAUCAGUAUAUAUAAGGUUUAUUUAUAAAAAUAAGGAUAGCUUUUUUAUAUAUUGUCAGUGUGUAAUUGUUUUUUAUACUAGCAAGUUUAGAUCAUAACAUAUAAUAUGAAUUCAAAUCAUGCACAUGUGGCAUACAUCCAAAGUUGCUAGUGUAAAAACUCAUUAUACUAUCAGUACAUAAAAAAUUAAUCUUAAAAUUUAUGCAAAAAGAUCAUUAAUUAGGCCUUGGAAAUAAACUUAGCAUUUAAUUGGUUAGAGAAUCUAUGCUUUUUUUUUUUUUUAAAGGAAAGAGAAUCUAAGUUUUGGGUGCUUAUGACAGUAUUGAACAAAUGAUAAAUGGCGGAGUGCCUGGGACCCUUUUUUUUGAGAUGGAUAAAAUCAUUAGCUUUAUAAGUAUUGGAUUGGGAUAAUAUCAGAAACUUCCCCUCAUGUUUCUCUUAAUAUCACCUAGCGCCUCUAAAGUUUUAAAAAUGUCACUUAUUUCCCUUACUUUUGUUAUUUGUGUAACAAAAUUUUGAUAAACCUAAACUACCCUUUUGCUCGCUAAACAAAAACACUCCUAAGCUACUUUCUUUACUCCAAUAAAACCAUCAUCUAAAAAACAAUACACAAAAAUACUGUUGAACUACUUUGUUUACUCCAAGAAAACCAUCAUCUAAAAAACAAUCUCCAGUAAUACUACCACGUUACGAUGCUAUAGUUCAUAAAAAUAUAAUUUUGAAAAACAAAAAGGAUAUUUGCAAAGAAAUAUAUAACACCAAUUUAACUUUAAAUACUCAAAACCAAUUUCUUAUGAACCUUACUCUUUUUUUUUCCAAUUUCUUCUCAACCCGUGUCCAAUCCCUUAAAUCGUAUUGAUCAUUAUGAAAAUCAACUCAAAAUAAAUAACAAAAAAAUCAUGUUAGCAUACUAAAUCAAACUUAAAAAUAGAAGUUUCUAAAUUUUUUAUUUAGCAAUGUUUUAGUCAAGUUAUAGUAGUUAGGAAUUGGUAAUUUAUUAGAACAUUUUUUAUGGUUAUGAGACUUAUUUACCGAGUCAUCUAGUCUAUAAAUAGGGAUUCUUAUUAUUGUUGUUAGUUGACAAGAGUGAAAAUUUGAGAGGCUGUUAUUGUGUGUGAUUAGUUGAUUUAUUUCUCUUCUCCUAUCUAUAUUGGUUUUAUGAAAUUUAUCUCCUAUAUAUUUUUUUUGUGAAAUUUUUUGGGUUCUACAAAUCAUGCCCCAUUCGAUCACAAUCACAAAAAGUGAAAAAUAAACGAAAUUCAAUUUACUAUAAUUUACAAAUAAAUAAUCGCAUAGUCAUCCAAAAAAAUGAGUAAAAUAGAAUGUUGAAAAAAGGAUAAAGAGGAGAAAGCGACUUUUGUUUCUUCUUUUUAAAAAUUUUUUGAGCACCAUUUAUUUGAUAUGCAAAUUAUGUAUCAAGUGAGGGUUAAUAUAGUCUUUUUACAAUUGUUAGGGGAGAUAAGUGAUAUUUUUAAAACUUCAGGGUGCCAAGUGAUAUUAGGAGAAACUUCAAGGGAGGUUUCUGAUAUUAUCCUGUAUUGGAUUUACAGGCUCUACCUGCCUACCUCUUUUGAUUCCUUGUGUUAAAGAAAUAUUGUCUUGUAGUUUUAAAAGUGAUAUUAUGACUUACACAGCAACAAGUUAGAGACGGCAUUGGAUGAGUAAAACUUAAUUUAAAUAUGGGAAAUUGGUCUAUAUUGAACUAGUGCCAAUUUGAACUCAUUAAAGUAAACAGCAAAGGUUGGUCAGCAUUUUUGGCUUUUGAAACAUCUUUAUUUGUCAGAAUUACAGGCAUUUCCAAGUCAAAGUACAGACACUUGUCUAUCUAUUAAUAUCAGUAUGACAUAGAUGCAUUUUCAAAUGGGACCAGCUACAGCCUACAAGUGAGAAACAUCCAAACUCAAAUUCUGGUGUGAACAAAUUUCAAACUACAAUAUUUGUUCAAUCUUGACUGAAGACCAAAGGAGAGUAGGAAGAGUAAUGAGAGUGCAUCUUCCCAGUUCCAACACAAAUUCAAUGAGUUUAAUAGUCUCUAACUUGCAACAUUUUGUACCUGUUUUUAUUGCUUUCCCUCCAGUCAGUUUCCAACUUCUUAGAGAAUUGAUGCUAUUGGGUGCAAAAGCCAAGAAUUGCCUUUUACUAUGGGAAUUUGCUUAGGAAAGCCUGCAAAGUUAGCUAAUGCUUCUUCUAGCCAGUUUUUAGGUAAGACUAUUAUGAACUUGAUACUCUCCAAGCAUGAUUACUUCUUUUUUUUUUUUUUGCUUUGCAUUUGCCUUUUCUUUGCAUGCAUUGACGGAGUUAGAGGGGGCAUGAAGGGGCAGCUGCCACUUCAAGAUUCAGCUAAUCUGAUUUUUACCUCAUAUCUUUGACGUCUGCAAAAGUUGUACAUGAAUACCGGCCAGUCAAAUUACUGGUGAUUUGUAUCAGGGAAGAAGAGCUGCCUGCGUUUAUAAUUAGCUAGCUUGGUAUCGUAUUACAGUUACUAAUUUGAGGACCAAUUCAGACUAAAUAUUGGACAUAUAUUCAGAUGGCUUUAAGUUUCUUUCAGUGAAUAUAGCUUCAAAGACUGUCUAAGACAGAGCAGUUUUAGCAAGGGUUUUCAAGUUUUCAACUGUUCUACUAGGAGCUUGGACAUUGAAAUUGAUGAGACCCCAGGUUGUCAUCACAAAGCAGGAUUAUAUGGAGCUAAAGCUUUUUUAUUGUUCUCAGUUAUAAAGUUUUACAGUUCAUCCCUUCACUUAUGCCAUCGAGAUGAUAUAGUAAUUUACUUUGAGCUGCAGUCAUAUCUGAACGUUAAAGACUCCAGAGAAUGGCUUCGCUUCUGUUCAAUUAUUUACCAGUGUAACUUUCCAGGAGAUGAGCAAUGGUAUCCUGUAAAUAUUUUUAGUAUGUCAACUCAUAAAUUAAUCACUUGUGAUCAUGUUAAAUACAUAAUGAGCAACUAUUGCAUGCUGCAGCAGUCUCUUUUCAGGAUAACAGUGCAAUUGUACACAUUCGAUUUGAUGAUGAAAGUUCUUUCCAAUGUUGAUGAUUCUUGAAAUUUGUAUAGUCCCCUGUACAAAGAUGUUGAUCAGAAGAAGCAUAGAGAUUAUUUUUAUGUUUCAUUGCUGAAAGUUUUGAUUUCAACAUGGAGGAUGAUUAUUAGUGUGCAUUUGCACUUAAUAUGAUAACAUUUUCUUUUCCAGAGACAAAAACAGAACCUGGAAAUGUGAAACAGGAUUCAACUCCUCCCAACCAGCAAAGUCUUUCAGGCAGUACAAACAGGCCUCUUCAAGUACCGAAACCUGAUCCAUCUAUCUCCAGCAAUCUCAAGUCCUAUAAUUUUAAUGAUCUCAAGACUGCCACCAAGAACUUCAGACCGGAUAGUAUUCUCGGUGAGGGAGGGUUUGGAUAUGUCUUUAAGGGAUGGAUUGAUGAGCACACUUUGGCUGCAAGCAGACCAGGAAGUGGGAUGGUAGUAGCUGUUAAAAAGCUUAAGACAGAAAGCUUUCAAGGUCACAGGGAAUGGCUGGUAAGUUGGUUGAUUUAAAAGCUUUUUGUAGUGAUUCUGCUAGAACCCCGUACAGAUUUCACACCCUUGAGUUUGGUGUUUUGUCCUUUUAUAUUGGCAGGCAGAAGUCAACUACUUAGGUCAGCUUCACCAUCAAAACUUAGUGAAGCUUAUAGGGUAUUGCUCAGAAUCAGACAAGAGACUUCUAGUCUACGAGUUCAUGCCUAGGGGAAGUUUGGAAAAUCAUCUGUUUAGAAGUAAGUAUUCUCCCCUCGUAGACACUGUCUCUUUCAUUAUGUAUUUCACCAGCUUUGGUUGUCAUCUGUCUCAAACUUAUCUUCAGAUUUUAUGUUGGAAUUUAGAGUAUAAACUAAGGAACAACACUUGUACUUAGUGCUGCUGCUGCAAAAAAAAGGCUUGUAAUAAAAUCUUCAGCUCUCUAUCGAUGGAGCAUACAGAAAGCAAAUCAACAUAAUUUCUGCUGAAAAAUCUCAACAAAAGAUACUUGUAAUUCAAAAUAGUUUAAAUCAAUAGACACUAAAUGUGAAACUUUCCCUAACAAGAAGAUUUAUUCAACAAUAAAUUCAUUUAUUCUAGUACUGAAAAUCUGCAGUGAAGUUGCAUAAUUCCAACAUUUUACAUCUACUUUAAGUUCAAUUAUGACUGACUUUAAAUUGAAGUCUUGGUAGGAGUGUAUAUUUCCUUCACUUUUUGGUCUUUAAAUUCACUUUUGCCAGCUUGAUAAGGAUUUCUUUUGCUCUUUGGUUUGCUCCGCAUGUCGAAUGUGACUUUGAAAGGAUUAUAUCUGCUUGAUGUCAAUAAGUCCUUUACUAUUUAGAUUGAAGAUGACUAGUUUUGGAUUUCCAUCUGAUCAAAUAGUUGUACCAACCAACCUGUCAUUUCAACCAUCUCCAUAGUCUCUAUAUGAUUCAUUAUUCAUAAACCAAAAGAUAUAUCAUCUGGAUGAGAAAUUCUCUUUUUGCAGAAGGAGUUCAACUUAUGGCUUGGGCAACUCGGAUGAAAAUUGCAGUGGAUGUCGCGCGAGGGUUGUCCUACUUGCAUAGUUUAUGCGCCAAUGUCAUCUACCGUGAUAUGAAGGCUUCGAACAUUCUACUUGACUCAGUAAGUUAUUCGAUUCCAGUUUGAUCUCAGGUAAAAUGUAGCAUAACAUUUUAUACACCAAAUCAAGGUAAAAUGACUCAGCGGCCUAACUUCUGCAGGACUUCACUGCAAAACUUUCAGAUUUUGGCCUUGCAAGGGAUGGUCCAAGUGGAGAUAGAACUCAUGUCUCAACUAGAGUAAUGGGAACUCGGGGAUAUGCUGCACCAGAAUACGUAGCAACAGGUUUCUUCUGCUUUUUACCUUACUGUUUUUUGAAUGUAAACAAUCAUUUUUCAAUUUUGAUAUAUUAUGUCUCCUAAGUCCUAAAAUUAUAACCUUACCAAACAUGUUGCAUCAGUGUGAAGAUUGUAUGUUUAACAACAUUAAAAUAAGAGAAAAUUUUGGCCAUAAAGAUCAGAUCAUUGUUUUUUAAGCUUAUAAGAAGUGCAAUACUUUCUUAUUUCACAGAACAUUUCCGCAUGACAAUUGACAAAUUUCACCUGCUGAAUAACUAUAUAUGUUGGAUGUUCAUGGCUUUGUUCUUUUAUAAUUGGUCAAGACAAGUGGAUAUGCAAGACUGACUUCUGAACUGAAGAAACCAUUCAUUCAAAAGAGCCAACGAAAAGGAAAGGGGAAAAAAUCCCUCAAGCAAGCGAGUAGUUACACUAUCCUCAUGCACAACUGAAUUUAACUCAAACUAUCUCAGAAUCUCUGGCAUCUUUUAUAUACCGAUUUUCUUUUAUCAGAAGCGAUGUCUGCCUGCCUAGGCUAAACAUAUCUUGUCAAUUUGCUUUGUCAACCAAUACUUCAGUAACAGAGGUGGAUUGAAUUUUAUUGAUGUCCUUAACAACACAGGUCACUUGACACCAAAGAGUGAUGUGUACAGCUUUGGAGUGGUGCUGCUAGAGUUGUUAACAGGAAAAAGAGCGAUGGGAGAUGAAAACAUUGGAGGUAAUGAUGAAACUUUGGUAGAUUGGGCAGUGCCAUUCCUUGGUGAUAGCAGGCGAGUUACACGAAUCAUGGACACAAGGUUAGGUGGUCAAUACAACAAGAAAGCUGCCCAAGCUGCUGCGGGUGUUGCAUUACAGUGUCUCCACAUAGAUCCUAAGCUCAGACCAGCAAUGCCCGAGGUACUAACCAACCUGGAAGUGCUUCUCACAGCCAAGGAUAGUCCUAGGCUUCCACUCCAAUCCAAGCUUGACACCAAUGUGACUUUGGCCGAGAAAUCUACUCAUCCUCAGAAGAAUGCAAGAGCAAGCUCACACCCACGAUAACUUGUGUACAAAUCCUGUAUAAUUUGAGACUCUCUAGCAUAACAGCAAGGCUGCUUGAAAUGAAAAAAGGGUUUGAGAGGAAAAUGCACAAGGGAAAGAAAAAAUGAAAGAGAGCGUAAUUGCCAUUUCUUGUAUAUUAGCAAGUUCUGUUACCUGAUAUUGGUAUUUUCCCAGCUGUUGAGUGUAUAAAUUGUUAGAACAUGUAAAUGAAUGCUGACCGACCUCCGCGGUUUUGCCAUUUUUUGUAGUCUUCGUUUCGUUUGCUGUUGGAUUUGCUCGUUGAAAGCACAUUCGUGUAAAUAUUAUGCCAGACAGAGUAACCAUUUUUCAGAUUGAGGCGUCAGUUACUAUUUUCUGAAAAAACUGUGAUGGUUAGAAGUAGAAUAUAAUUGCCCAUUUUUGACAUGAAGUGAAGAAAAUAAACAGAACUUGGUCUUCUGUUUGAUAUGCUCUUGUUUACAGAUGUAAGGUAGAUGCACUAGUUAACUGCAAUUUGGUAUGUGAACUAGUCACAAAUCACAACCACAUUCACUUUUGACUACUAUGUAUAAGGCAUCAUUCGCAGAGGGGCAAGCAAACUAUGCCAUUCAUACAAAUACAGUUUUCUAAAGCUAAGACAAUAAUGUCAAAUUAUCAGCUAAUAGCUGCAAGACCUAAGCAUGCAUCUAGACUGGCAAUCACAUACAUUUGAAUCCUCGAUACAACAAAGAUCCAUUCACAAAUAUAUUGGAUUGGCCAUUAACCUUACAUUGGUAGAGACUACAUCCUUUUCUUCAUAUAUUUUAUCCUGCUGUCUCGUUGUCAAGUUAAGCUCUGAGAGACCCUUACACCAGAGAAAUUAUAGUCCAUAAAACAACAAAGACAAGCUUAAAUUUUGUCGGACAGAACAAAAAUUCAGUAUGAUUAUUAAGAAAUCGCAUUUCAGUUAAACACAAUGACCAAGAGAAAGAACUUCUCGAUGUUUCUUUUUCAUGGGCUAUAUGACAGCAAAUCCCACCACUAAACAAUUCUCGUAACUAAGACUUGAGCUCAAGGCUACACAUUACACCAUCUCAAUUGGAACUAUAGACACUCCAAAUUUAUCUACACAAUCAAUCAGAAAACCUCUUCAUCGAUUCUCUCGUGGGAGAAAAAGGUCCCACAAAAGAAAG
Molecule: long non-coding RNA, 44587 nt
Filed under: Coffea arabica (coffee)
Lineage: Eukaryota; Viridiplantae; Streptophyta; Magnoliopsida; Gentianales; Rubiaceae
Description: long non-coding RNA (CARA_LNC000663)
Source: RNAcentral